GUGUGGGAUCUCAGGGGUAUGCUCGGCUGUCACUCGAGGCUUUCAUUAGUGGUUGUGCAUUAGUCAUCUGUCAAGUAAGUAAAGUGGGAGUCUGACAAGGUGUACUAGUCUAGUCAGUAGGUAGGUAGGUUUUUUUGGUCGGCAAUCGAAGGAUCUGCAACCCUUUUUUGUUGUGAGGAGGCAGAUAGAUAUGGAAGGGAUGAGGAGGAGAAGAUGUGAAUAUUCGGAGGGGAGCGGAGCGGAGGGCCCCUUCCCUUGAGUUUGUUAGUGACUGGAUGGCGAGCGCAGGUUGAGGUGUGAGUUAUAUCUAUCAUGUCAUAGAAUUUUAGCUAAAACUUCAAGUCACAACUCAAGAAGAAAAAGGACAAAUCGUGACAUGAAUGCUGUUAAUUUAAACUGGGCUGUGAAUUGGGCAUGUUUGCACUAUCACAGCCGAAUUUGGUAUGCUUGUUUUGCCUAAAAAAAUAGAAAAAAAUGGUAUGCUUUUUUCUCUUGCUGUGAGUUGAAUUUACGACUGAAAUUUUCUAACACAUUAGAUGUAUGCUAUUUCUUUAUACUCAAAUUAUUUUAAUAAUUCUCCAGGACUUAUAGUACAAGUUUUCGUUGUUCGGUGCACUGGUAGCACAAAAACUCUGGGUGUAGGUUGAGGUACCGGUGCACGCUCUCUAGGUUGAUGUAGCAGGUUGGUUGUAUGUACCGGGUAUAACACAAGCAGUCGCUGCCGCAAGACCAGCAAACCAUCGAGGUGCCCUGAAAACUAGAAAUCAUGGACAAGAAAAUGGUCACUGCCUGCGCUCGCAACACCAAGAAGAUGGUUCGGGUCCAGUUUCUCAGAGAUGGGGUUGAGUGCAGGCGCCGCAAGACAAGGGAUUGAACCAGCCAUGGAUGAUGGAUACGACAGAGAGAUGAUGUGGCCUUGAUACCAUACAAGGUUUUGAGGCUGGAAGCAUGUGCCCUUGGGCAGGGAUGCGUACGUGUUAUAUGGAGCAAUCACAUUACAUAGAUUUGGUUCGUUCGCUUGAGCUUAAUCCACAUAUUAGCUAUACAGAGAUAUGGAUCAGUCUCAGCUAGCUAACCACCCACAACAACACACGCACGACCCUAGGCCUUCUAGAUUAGAUACUUGGUUUAUACACUACCGAACACACGUACAAUAUCUCCAACAAUAUUGAUCAUGCUAAGUUAUAAACCAAAGAAAGCAUUACACACAAUAAUAAUCAUUAAAACCACUAUUUUGAACAAAUUUGAACUAAAGCCAUGGCACUUAUUUUGGGAUAGAGGAAAGUAGUUACCUACAUAAGCUCCAACAUUUUGAGACCUCAUCCUUGACGGAUAUUUCUUGCCAGUGAAGCCCAACCCAUGGCCACGUGCACAUAAGCUCGAUCAUACAUGUGGUCUGUAAAUGAGAACCAACCAAUCCUCCAUUUUCUCUCGAGCAAGAAGCCACAAAAGACAAUCCACAAACCAACUACAAAUCCUAUGCACAUGCUGAGGUAUAACGAAACCACAUCACUCAUUCCUUCAUUAUGCUCUUGGGGAGCAUAUGGAAUUAUGUCAGUUCGUGAGCAAUUCCUUGGGACAGGUGGACCACAUAGACCUGGGUUGCCAGUAUAUAUGGACGCUUGGUCCUCUAGUGUUCUUAAUUGGUUCCCGGAUGGUAUAGUCCCAGUCAGAUCAUUAUAUGACAAGUUCAAGCGGGUUAGUGACGUUAGAGAUGAUAUGCUUGUAGGGAUUUCACCAGAGAGCCCAUUGUGCGAGAGGUCAAAAGAUUCCAAAGCUUGUAGCGCACCGAUGCUUUGGGGUAUUAUGUCAGUCAGACUAUUCCAGGAGAAGUUCAAGUUCUUUAAUGCAAUGAGCAUGCCAAUUUCCUUAGGAAUCUGCCCGCUCAAACUGUUGCUGGAAAAAUCAAGGUUUACCAUGUAUGCUAUACUUUUGGUAUAUUCAAGCACUUGACCUUUUAUCUCCACCUCUACAGUAUAAGCAUCAGUGGACAUGGCCUUAGAAACUCCACCAACUACAAUAUAAUUGACAAGGUCAAAAAGGCCACCACUAUUAUUGGAAGUAAAAGUCAUAUAUGAUCAUUGGUUGGUUACUCGUGGGGACGGGUUCCCCGUGGGUUUUGAAAACCCGACGGGUUUAGGGGAUGGCCAAAAUUUUAACCCCGCACACGUUGAUGGGGACGGGGACGGGUUUGCGAUUUUCUCGUGGGGAUGGGUUUGGGCAAGCAAAACCCGAUGGGUUUCGUCCCCGUUGCCAUCUUGAAUCAUGUAUGCUUGUGUUCGAAACAUCAAGAUAAGUGAUCGUUGGUUGGUUAAGCCAAGAUGGAAACUUGGGCCCUAGUAUACAAGAUCCAAAGCCUGAGUAGGAUAAGUUGAAUGGAGUUAUCCAUGUACUAUCGACCUUCACAGUUAAGGAAUUACCUGAGAUAUCUAGGGUUUGUAAGGUGCUCAGAUAUGUGAGACGGUCCUCGGUGAUUGUACCAUGUAGGUUGUUGUGGGCCAGCGAUAAUUCAUCCAAAUUUAUGAGUUCCCGUAUACUAACGGGUACCUCUCCAUACAAAUCGUUGUUGUCGAGGUUGAUCUUGGCCAAGCUGCUAAAGUUCCCUAACCGAUGCAGUAGCUCUGCCACAUCCAUGAUGAUGAAGUUGGUUUCUAAUACGAGCUCUGUUAGAUUUUGUAGUUUCUGGAAGCUUAACGGCACCAUGCCAGUGAACUUGUUCGAACCAAGAUACAAACUCUGAAGAGAGGUCGAGUUCCCCACAUCGUCAGGGAUUGGACCAUCGAUUCCGCAAUCAGUUAGGUAGAGAUUUUGGAGGCUGGGUAGACCCCAAAGCAAAUUUUUGGCUCCAAGAGAUGUGUUGAAGGAGUUUGCAAUAAGGCUGAGGGACUCCAGGGAUGUGAGAUUUGAAUGCGCCGGGGGAGACAUAGAGUUCUGAAGCGCACAAUAACUUAAAUCAAGGUCUGUCAAACGGGGGAGCAUGUUGAUAGCAUGAAGCCAGUUGACGGCAGCGAUGAGGUCCACGCCAGACAUGCCGAGGACCUGAAGCUUCUGUAGGCACGACACCCAUGUGAGGUCAGGCGAGUAGGAGCCAUGUGCCAUAUAGUUGAGCUGAAGGCUGACCAAGUUCGAGAGGUUGCCGAGGUGGGGUGGAAUCCGACCACCAAAAUGGGAGUCAGAGAGGUCGAGAUGCGUGAGGCGCCCACGCCCGAGGGAGCCAAUGAGCUCCGGGAUGGGCUGGCCACCGAAGUUGUUGCGUGAGAGGUCCAGCUUCUUCAGAUGUCAUAAGGUGAGCAAGGAGGAGCGAAUCUCACCUCCAACGCGGUCCAUGAACGAGUCGAGCGGCCAUCCGCUGUUGAUUUUGAGCAUGAUGACAUGGCCGGUCCGGUUGCUGCAAACGACGCCCGUCCACUGGCAGCACUCCACACCUCGCCAUGACGACAGGAAGUUGAUGGGGUCGGUGAGGCCGACCUUGAAGUCGAGAAGCGCGUUCCGCUCGCGGGGGAUGCAGAGGGUGCCUCCUGGCGUUGGUGGCAGGGCUGGGAGGAUCGGGUGGCGGGGCAUCGUGAAGAUUGCUCUGCUGUGGCUGACCAAGCACAUGGUCAAGAUCAUCGUAACCCGGAGCAGCUGCCUCGGCACGGCCAUUUUGUGUGUGCGUGUGUGUGGACUCUUGUUUCGUUGGUUGGGUAUUUAUUUGCGAAGGAGGUGUGCGUGAUUGAAAAGAAUUCCACAAGCGGGUCAGCCAAUUCGUUCAUUCUUCACAGCCCGUCGGGUACAUGACAAGGAAAUGCCCGGUCCUUGUGGUUAGUUUCAUUGACUUGAGUGAUAUAUAAUUAGGCCAGUCUGUACCAGUUAGGUGUGUACUUGUGUGGUCAUCAUGGAUGGAUGUCAUGUCACGGUCUCAUCCCGUAGAAAAUCUUCCGUUUUCCUAUUUUCUUUGGAUAUCACUGGCUCUGUGGAACGCUUCGACCACACGACGACGAUGGCGAUCCCAAUGAAAACGAGCGGUACCGACGCAUAUGCUUCACCAUGCUCGUGUCCUCCUUGCUCCAUUUGCGAAGCCUGCCUUCACCCACACAGAAUCAGUAUCGCACGACAUGAGUGCUGCCGGUGGACGGACGUCGUUUGCAUUGACCGGACCGGCCACGUUGUCUCGCUCGAAAUCAGCAGCGGAAACUUCUACCCGUACGGGGCUAAGAAACGCCUGGGAGGUGAGAUACGCUCCUCCUUACUCAAUUUACCACUUCUGAAGAACCUGGACCUCUCAGGCAACAACUUCGGCGGCAAACCCAUCCCGGAACUCGUCGGCGCCCUAGGGAGGGGCACCUCACACAUCUCGACCUCUCCCACUCCAAUUUCGGCGGCCGGAUUCCUCCCUACCUCGGCAACCUUUCGAAUUUGGUCAGCCUUCAGCUCAACGGUAUGGUCCACGGCUCAUACUCGCCUGAUGUCGCAUGGGUGUCACGCCUUAGGAAGCUGCAGGUCCUCGGCAUUUCUGAGGUAGACCUCAGCGCAGCCGUCGACUGGACUCAUGCUAUCAACAUGCUCCCCUAUUUGAUAGACCUUGAUUUAAGUUCUUGUGGGCUUCAUAACACUGUACCUCCCCCAGUGCAUUCCAAUCUCACAUCGCUGGAGAGCCUUUCCCUUGAAUCAAACUCCUUCAACACAUCUCUUGGAGUGCCAAAAUGGGUCUGGGAUCUACCUAGCCUCCAAAUGCUCGACCUAUCAGAGUGCGGAAUCAAUGGUCCAAUUCCUGACACCGUGGGGAACUUGACCUCAAUUCAGGGAUUGUAUAUUGGUUGGAACAAGUUCACUGGCACAGUGCCAUUGACCUUCAAGAGACUGAAGAAACUACAAGGGCUUGUAUUAUCCUCAAACUUCAUCAACAUGGACGUGGCAGAGCUACUGCAUCGGUUGCCAUCAGAUGAAUUACAUGCGAUGGGUUCAGAGGACAACUUUCUGACAGGGAGCUUACCAGAAUGGCUAGGGCACUUUAGCAACUUGACCAUGAUCAAUCUCAACACAAACGAGCUGUCUGGAGAGAUACCUGUUGGUAUAUGGGAGCUCGUAAAUUUGGAAGGAUUGUUGCUAGCCCACAACAACCUACAUGGUACAAUCACUGAGGACUAUUUCACAAAUAUGACCACCUUACGAUACCUAAAUAUCUCUGGUAAUUACAUAACCAUCACGGUCAAUAGUACAUGAAAAACUCCAUUCAGCUUAGAGAUAGCAAGCUUUAGAUCUUGCAUACUAGGGCCCCAGUUUCCAGACUGGCUUAACCAACCAGCGAUACUUUAUCUUGAUGUUUCAAACACAAGCAUACACGAUAGCAUACCUAUCUGGAUUGCAAAUUCCUCUGCUCAAUAUUUGGAUUUGUCAAGAAAUCGCUUGGUCGGAAUGCUUCCUACAUUUUCCCUAUUAUCUCCCUUGGAAAUACUGGAUGCCAGUUCUAACCAGAUUGUUGGCUCGAUUCCAAUACUUCCAAAUAAUCUACUCUACUUGGACCUCUCUGGAAACAAUCUACCAGGCGCACUGCCAUCAGAUAUAGGAGCGCCAAUGCUAGAAGUACUCCUUCUCUUCAACAAUUCCUUUUCUGGAACUAUUCCCUGCUCGCUACUCCAACCGCGAGAAUUGGUAUUUCUAGACCUAUCAAAAAACCUGCUAAAUGGGUCAUUUCCCAAUUGCCCUCAAGGAUUUAAAACCUCAACCAUUACCAUGCUUUGGUGCGGGUCUCUAGCUUUGGUGCGGGUCAGCAGGAUUCCUUCAUUCCUCACGUACAGCCCGUCAGGUCCGUGACGUUAGUUUCAUUAACUUGAGUGAUAGUAUAUAGUUAGGCCAGUCUGCACCAGUUAGCUGUGUACUUGUGUGGUCAUCAUGCAUGGAUGGAUGUCACGGUCUCAUCCCGUAUACAACCUUCAAUUUUACUAUUUUCUUUGGAUAUCACAGGCUCUAUGGAACGCUUCGACCACUCGACGAUGAUGGCGAUCCCAAUGAAAACGAGCGGGCAGGAUAGAGAGGUACCGACCGACGCAUAUGCUUCACCAUAUGUUUUCGCAAGGGGCAAUGCUAGACCUACAUAAUAGUUGUUAUGUUCUUUACGUAAAUAGCAAUAUGGAGCAAUAUUAGUGGAUCAUUAGGCGGGAAGGGGCCCACAACUCUGAAAAUAAGGGGCGGGGAGAAGAUUAGACAGGCAUGUUACGUAGGUCUUCGUAGCGGUUUGCAUAGAUGUAGGAUUAUUGUUUCGCAAGAUCACCAUCAUGCUCAUGUCCUCCCUGCUCCAUUUGUGAAGCCUGCCUUCACCCACACAAAAUCAGUAUCGCACGACACGAAAAUGGCAAGAAAUUAGAAGAAAUUAAAUGAGAAAAGGAUAGACCAUAGCGGAGCAAAUGGGAGCUCGCUCCCUCGGGUCGCAGCUACCCUCCCAGCCCAGCACUCGCCCGACUUCCCACCACCGGUCAUAACCUUUAUGUCGCCCCUUGUCACCAUGGCUCACCCGCCGGUGCUGGCGUUCACCGACGAUAGCCGAAGCUGGUGGUCCCACACCUCGUGGUCGGUCGAGUAGUUCUGUGGCCGGCGUCCCUCCGUGAUGUCGUUAUUGUACCCGUGGUCACCAUACAUGUAGUAGAGCUCCGCAUCGUCGCGGACAAUCUAGGCGGCUCUCGGAGGGUGGCGGGNNNNNNNNNNNNNNNNNNNNNNNNNNNNNNNNNNNNNNNNNNNNNNNNNNNNNNNNNNNNNNNNNNNNNNNNNNNNNNNNNNNNNNNNNNNNNNNNNNNNNNNNNNNNNNNNNNNNNNNNNNNNNNNNNNNNNNNNNNNNNNNNNNNNNNNNNNNNNNNNNNNNNNNNNNNNNNNNNNNNNNNNNNNNNNNNNNNNNNNNNNNNNNNNNNNNNNNNNNNNNNNNNNNNNNNNNNNNNNNNNNNNNNNNNNNNNNNNNNNNNNNNNNNNNNNNNNNNNNNNNNNNNNNNNNNNNNNNNNNNNNNNNNNNNNNNNNNNNNNNNNNNNNNNNNNNNNNNNNNNNNNNNNNGUCAACGACGGCGGCGCUGUUUGGAGUCAUUGAUCCGCUUGUUGAGACCAAACUGCUUUCUGAUGGUUGCCUCGAAGAAUACAUUUUUUUGGAAAUGAUAAAUCCUGAACGUUCAGAAUUUAAGCAUGACAAUCCGAAAAAAUUUCAUGGCAACUUUAGUUCACGCGAGGUUGGCAAAUAUGACAAUUUUCUGACAAAAAAAUAAACCAGGACAAAGUUACCAUGUUUUAACAACUAUAGUUGCCACCGCCUCAAAUGAAGUUGCCAUGAAAAAUGGUUUGAGAUGACAUGCUUAAAAUCCGAACAUUCGGGAUUUAUCUGGUCCUUUUUUAGCACCUUCCUAUGCUGGUUAAUUUUUGAAAAAACUUGCACGAAGAAUACAUAUUUUUUAGCACAAUAAGAACCAUGCCACAAGAAGACCGUCACAAAGAUAUGGAUGACGUUGCCCCUCGUUCGAGCGUGUGGCUUGCAGGAUGUGGCUUUCUAGAAUAGUAUAGUGUACCACGUAAUUUUGCUUUUUUUUUUUGCUGAAUUUUGAGGACAAGGGGAGAUAUAUAGCUCCUUUAUUUUUGGAGAAGUUGCACAAAGAUUAAAUAUUUUACUAGCAGAAUAAGGACCGUGCCAGUGCGAGAGAAGACCGCCAGCUGCCUGAUACGGAUGGCGUUGCUGGUUCCAUGACUCGAUCCCGUUGUCACUGUCACACAGCUGGAUUGGAUCUGCACAUACGUAGACGUAGUUUUCCUGUAGAAUUGAGUGAUUUUCUAACGAAAAUAGUUGCCAUUGGAAUUUCAUCCAUCCGCUAAAGACAAUAACCUCGCGCUCUAGCUGGCUGGCGUAGACUGACCUAAUUUUCACUCAAGUCAAGCUAACUUGAUGGACGGGGCAUUUCCUUGUCACGUAGUAGUGAGGACCAUCAUGAAAGCUGGUUUGGUUUGGAUCGAUCUGAGAGAUUGAAACCUACUCCCCCCGCCUCAUAAUAUAAAAGCGUUUUUGACACUAUACUAGUGUCAAAAACGCUCUUAUAUUAUGGGACGAAGGAAGUAGCAUCAUGUUGAUUGUCAUCGCUGACUCGCGACAGUUUGUUGGGUGACUUGCACAAUUGAAGAAGAUCGCGUAGUAGCAGGUGCUCUGAUCGCUCCUCUUCCUGCUUCGGCGCAGCGGCGAGAUCGAGGGGCGAGAGUAGGUUGGGGCGAUAACCACCAAAGACGUUCCAACUGCGGGCGUUCACCGACGACAGCCAAAGCUGGUGGUCCCUCACCUUCUUGGUCCAGUAGUUCUGUCACUGGCGUCCCUCCAUGAUAUCGUAAUUGUACUCAUGGCCUCUGUACAUGUAGCUGAGCUCCGCAUCGUCGCCGUCGAUCUAGGCGGCUCUCCGAGGGUGGCGGGGGUGGGUGUCGCCAGAGUGGAUCUCGGCGGCAUGUGAGUCAAUGACGGCGCCGCUGGCACCCAUAUCAAAACUAUGACGCAGCUCCAAGCCUUGAUCCCAUUUGUAAUAACCAUGUGGCGCCAGCCGCGAGAUCACCCAGAAGCGGAGCCUUCAGCGAGGCAGACCGAGCUCAUGCACAACGAUGCACGGCCGACCAUGCAGCUCGAGGACGCCGACCACCGUGUCCCCUACAACAUCGAAUGGCGGAAGGCGGCUCAUGCGGUGCGUCUCGCUUGCCACGUCGACCACCAGGAGCAUAUUGGGCUUCUUGCCCGACUUGCGCUCCUUUGUGAGCAAGUACAACUUGCCGUGGAUGAGCAUUGGUGGCGAGCGCAUUCCCUGGCACCGCAAGAGCUCCUGGAGCAGACACCAAUGACCGCUGGUGGCAGCACCCAACAUGAACACGUACAUGUAGCUCGGGCGCUCCACCAUGCCGUGGGAGUCGGAGAAGGAGAGACCGAAGAGCUUGUACUGGCAUGUCGACGGGCUAUACCCCAUGGCGUAAAUGUGCCUCGCCCUGCAACUUGUCGCCUGUGAUGGGGUUGCAGAAGAUGAUCGGAUACGACCUGUCCGUCGCGGCGAGGCACAGGAAGCCCUACGUUGCAGGUGUUGGCACCCUCGUCACGCUGCUCUUGCCCGGCUCCUGUGUCUCUGUGACAAGCAGGGCCUCCGCACAUGCGCCGGAGACGACGUGCACGGCGUGGGUGUGGAGGGCGAGAAAGGAGCGGUCGGUGAGGACGACGCGCCAUUGCCUGCACACGCAGCGGCCAACGGCGACGGCCCUCGUCGGCAGCCUCAGCAGGAUCUGGCGGAGGGUCUCCUCCACCGCUGAUUCCAUCAUCGUCGUUGUCGAGCGAAACGCCACAAUAGAUCGAUCAGGUCAUCGACAUGGAUCGAUUAUCGGGCGUCGCAUGUAUAUAUUGCUCAUGCGCUUGAUCGAAAACUUGGUUGGUUUCCGUGCGGGACAACCUAGAGCGAACAUGCGCUUGAUCGGCGGCUCGCAUAUUCCCUUCGCUUUUUUUUCCGAAAAAACUAACGCCCAUACGUGUGGCAUAUUGCACAUCGCCCACACGUCUCCAUCACCACUCAUUUUGCCACGUAGGAACAUAUGACAUCAGUAGAAAUCUUUUUGGUUUUCGGCUUCAAAAUAUUUUAUCUCCUAAUUAAAAAAUUAAAACAAAAAUCCAUUUUUACUAUUAAAUCCGUCUCGACAAGAUCUUCAAAACUAGACCCUAUGUUGAUAUGUUUCGACGAAUUUUUUUUUUGCCCAAAAGUUGCCAUGAUGUUUACACUGUAGUUGCCAUAGUGUUUAAACUAAAGUUGCCAUCUGGCAAUUUUAGUUUGUAGAGCAUGUCAAUUUUAGUUUUUUUAUGAUGGCAAUUCUAGUACUUUGACUAUGAAAAUUAUUUUUUGUAUGAACCAUGGCAGUUUUAAGUGCAUGUAUCAUGGCAAAUUUAGUUUAUGAUUCAUGGCAAGUCUAGUUUCUUAAUUUCCCAUUUUAUAAUAUGUCAAAAUUUACUCUUAAGUGUAGAAAAAAAUAGCUGAAACAUGUCAUGGCAACUUCAGUGUAAACACCAUGGCAAUUUAUAUGCAAUAGACAUGACAAUUUUUAACUCAAGAAAAAUUUCGUCGAAAUAUAUUAAUAUGAGAUCUAGUUUUGAAGAUCUCGUCGUGAAAAAUUUAAUGGUGAAAACGGAUCUUCGAUCGGAUUUUUCAUUUAAGAGAUAAAAAGUUUUAAAAACUGAAAAUCUAAAAAGAUUCCGAGGUGCAUGCAUGUGGUGACAUGGCGCAGUACGUGUGGGCGGUUUUGGCUCCCACCACAUGUGCGGGUGUUAGCGUUGUUCUUUUUUUCCUGGUCCUCCAUCGCAUUGCGUGUUUUUCUUUCUUGACGCAUCAUCGCAAUGCGUGUUUUUUAACACUGUAAUUUCAAAAAAGGUCUUAUAUUUUUAUGCCGAGUAGUACUACUUUCAAAAUAAGUAGUGUUCCUUUUUUUUUGUUAGGGAGAACUCUUCGUCAAUUGGUAGUCCCCCUCCGACCAUGUUUCUCCAUAGCUUUUCUUCAUCCAGCCAAUUUUUUCCCACCACAUGAUAUUUGACCACAUCUUUCUAACACGCCACUAAAUCAUAUUAAUUUAUUUACCCUUUACAGCGCUACAUGAAAUUCAUCUUAAUUAACUUACCUCUUCCAAUAAUGUGGAAUUGCGCCAUUCGACUCCACACCAUAUUUCACCGCACCCUUCUGGUAUGCCACUCAAUCAUAUUAAUUUACUUAUUAUGCACAUGAUGUUGGGCCAGUCCCCACACCGAAUACUUCCAGCGACGGUGAUACGAACGACGAUGACAGACAAAGCUUUACGCCGAGAUGCGCUGUAGGUAGCUAGCCUGAUUUACUCUAGCCACGCCCAAGCUAGCUAGCUCGAUAUUGUUGAUCGAUUCUUGCCGCCGGCCAGAAUAUAACAACCGCGCACACACGAAUCGCUAGACGAGAUUGAUGGCCACAGGUACGAGAUACGUACCUGUUGAUUUCUUUAUUGAUUUCAAUCUCAACUCGUGGUGCAAGUUUUACUCGUGGACGCGCUUCUCGACUUCAGGGACGGCCUCUACGACCCAAGCAACCUCCUAUCGUCAUGGCGAGGUGUGGAAUGCUGCCGGUGGGCUGGCGUCGUUUGCAGCAACCGGACCGGCCACGUUGUCAAGCUGCGAAUCAGCAGCAUAUACAUCUCGGACACGUACAGCCUUGGAGGUGAGAUACGCUCCUCCUUGCUAACUUUACGACAUCUGAAGCAGCUGGAACUCUCAUACAACAACUUCGGAGGCCAACCCAUCCCGGAGUUCAUCAGCGCCCUCGGGCGCGGGCGCCUAACGCACCUCGACCUCUCCUACUCAAGAUUUGGCAGCCGGAUUCCUCCCCAGCUCGGCAACCUCUCGAACCUGGUCAGCCUUCAGCUCGAGUAUAUGGAAUAUGGCUCUUACUCACCUAAUCUCGCAUGGGCGUCGCGCCUCAGGCAACUGCAGGUCCUCGCUAUGAGUAACGUGGACCUCAGCUCUGCCGCCGAGUGGUUUCAUGUUAUAAACAUGCUCCCCUAUUUGACAUACCUUGAUUUAAGUGCUUGUGAGCUUCCGAACAAUAUGCCUCACCAGAUGCAUUCCAAUCUCACACAUCUGAACCAGCUAUACCUCUCAUGCAACGACUUUGGCGGCCAACCCAUCCCGAAGCUCAUCGGCGCCCUUAGGAGGCUGACACAUCUCGACCUCUCUUCGUCCAAUUUCGGUGGUCAGAUUCCUCGCCACCUCGGGAACCUCUCGAACCUGGUCAGCCUUGAUCUCAGCAGAAUGCCGCAAAAUGCUUACUCACCUGAUCUCACCUGGGUUUCGUCCCUCACGAAGCUGCAGGUCCUCAUCAUAACUGAGGUGGACCUCAGCGCCGCUGUCCACUGGACUCAUGCUAUUAACAUGCUCCCCAGUUUGAUAAACCUUGAUUUAAGUUCUUGUAGGCUUCACAACACCAUGCCUCCCCCGUCACAUUCCAAUCUCACAUCUCUGGAGACCCUCACCCUUUCUGGAAACUCCUUCAACGCAUCUCUUGGAGCCAAAAAUUUGGUUUGGGAUCUGCCUAGCCUCCAAGCGCUCUUCCUAGAUGACUGUGGAAUUGAUGGUCCAAUCCCUGACGCGGUGGGGAACUUGACCUCCAUUCAACACUUGUUACUUUAUUCGAACAAGUUCACUGGCACCAUGCCAUUGACCUUCAAGAAACUGAAGACACUACAACAACUCUUUUUGCAAGACAACUUCAUCAACAUGGAUGUGGCAGAGCUACUGCACCGGUUGCCAUCAGAUGCACUGCAGGAGCUGGUUAUGGACAACAACAAUUUGAAAGGGAGCUUACCAGCUCGUCUAAGGCACUUUAACAGGUUGAACACGCUCUUCCUCGACUCAAACGAGCUUUCUGGAGAGAUACCAGUUGGUAUACGGGAGCUCAAAAGUUUGAGUAGAUUAUCGCUAAGCUCGAACAACCUGCACGGUACAAUCACAGAGGGCCAUUUCACAAAUCUAACCACCUUAGAAUUCCUACUUAUCUCUGAAAAUUCCUUAACCGUGAAGGUCAACAGUACAUGGAAGCCUCCAUUCAAAUUAGUCUCAGCAGGCCUUAGAUCUUGCAUAGUAGGGCCCCAGUUUCCAGCAUGGCUUAACCAACCAACGAUCACCUAUCUUGAUGUUUCAAACACAAGCAUACAUGAUAACAUACCUGUCUGGAUUGCUAAUUCCAAUACUAGGUAUAUGGAUUUGUCAAGAAAUCGCCUUUUUGGCAUGCUUCCUACAUUUUCCCAACUUACUCAAUUGGAAGUACUGGACGUCAGUUCUAACCAUAUUGUUGGCCCGAUUCCACCACUUACAAAUAGUCUACGCUUACUGGACCUAUCUAGAAACAAUCUAUCAGGCGCAUUGCCAUCAGAUAUAGGAGCAUCAAAGCUAGAAGUACUGCUUCUCUUUGACAAUUCCUUUUCUGGCACUAUUCCCUGCUCCCUGUUUCAGUUGCAAUACUUGCUAUUUCUAGACCUAUCAAAAAACCUGCUAAAUGGGACAUUGACCAAGUGCCCUCAAGGACUCAAAACCUCAAAUACUACCUUAGUUAACUUGAACAACAACCGUCUUUCAGGAGCCUUCCCAUUAUUUCUUCAGAGAUGCAGAAAGCUACAGUUUUUGGAUCUGGCGUACAAUAAAUUUUCUGGGAGAAUACCAACAUGGAUCGCGUCAAAGUUACCACAAUUGGCAUUUUUGCGUUUGCGCUCAAAUAUGUUCUCUGGUGGCAUCCCCAGUCAACUAACUAUGAUGAAGGGGCUUCAGUUUUUAGACAUUUCAUGCAACAACAUAUCAGGGAGCAUACCACGCUCGCUUCAGAAUCUCAUAGCUAUGACACUUACUUCAAAUAAUAGUGGUGGCCUUUUCAAUCUCACUGAUUAUAAAGUUUUAUCUGCGGCCGCGUAUGCUCAGGCUUAUACUGAUAGUUUAUUGGUGAACAUAAAAGGUCAACAACUUGAAUAUACCAAAGGGAUCGCAUAUAUGGUGAACAUUGAUUUUUCUUGCAACAGUUUGACAGGACAAAUUCCUCAAGAAAUUGGAAAGCUCGUUGCAUUAAAGAACAUAAACUUCUCCUGGAAUAGUUUGACUGGCAUAAUACCCCAAUUUAUUGGUGAACUACAUGCAUUGGAGUCUUUUGACCUCUCACAUAAUGAGCUAUCCGGUGCAAUUCCUACAAGUUUAUCAGCUCUAACAUCACUAAGCCACUUGAACUUGUCAUAUAACGACCUGACCGGAACUAUACCCUCUGGGAACCAACUAAGAACUCUAGAGGACCAAGCGUCCAUCUACAUUGGCAACCCAGGUCUAUGUGGCCCACCUCUCACAAGGAAUUGCUCACGAAGAGACAUAAUUACAUAUGCUCCUCAAGAGCAUGCUGAAGGAAUGAGUGAUGUUGUUUCAUUGUACCUCAGCAUGUGCUUAGGAUUUGUACUAGGUCUCUGGGUUGUCUUUUGUGGCUUACUGUUCAAGAGGAAAUGGAGGGUUUGCUGGUUCUCACUUAUGGACCACAUUUAUGAUCGAGCUUACGUGCAAGUUGUUGUGGGUUGGGCUUCAUUGGUAAGAAAAAUCCGUCAAGGAUGAGAUCUCAAAUGCUCGAACAUCUCUUGAUACUAAUGAUAUAAGAAUAGCUUCAAUAAUCACCGUUGUGUGCAAUGGUCUCUUUGGUUUGUAACUUAGCGUGAUCACAUGUGAUAGUUAUUAUUAUUGGAAUUGUACCUGUACUCGGUAGUGUAUAAACCGAAUAUAAUACUCUAGAAGGGGCGUGAGUGUGUUCUUGUUCUUGUUGUACAUGGUUAGUCACUUGAGAUUGAUCCCAAUAUCUGUAUAGCUAGGGCGUGGAUAAAGCUCAAGCGAAUUAACCUAAUCUUGUAAUCUGGUUUUUCUAUAUAACACACACGCAUCCCUGCCCACCGGCAUAUGCUUCUAGCCUCAAAUCUGUUCACGCGAGCUCAUGUGAGCUCGAGCCAACAUACUCCACGUCCUCAUUUUUGCCACAACGUUGUAAAAAACUGAAAGAUGCUGCCUAGGCUAUAAUGUCAUUUUUUUGUUGAUACUGCUUGGCUGAUUUAUUCAUUUGAUGACAUGACGACAGUGCAUCAUCUCUCUCGGUCUCGAUAAAGUAGUACGGUACAUACAACCAACCAAUUAAUUAGUCAAGAGUCAACUCUUACCUCAACAAAUUAGUCUCUCUCUCUCUCUCUCUCUCUCUCUCUCUCCCUCUCUCUCUCCCUCCCAACCUGCCAAUAAUAGUCACAUCUCCAUUCAACAACCAACCAAUGCUUCUCCAUGCAGUCACUAACAAACUAAAGGGGAGGGACUCUCGGCUCCUAAUAUAUUCACAUCUUCUCAUCCUCCUUCCUUCCAUAUCUGUCUGCCUCCUCAUCACAACAAAUAACCUGUUGCGGAUCCUUCAACGUCUCACCACCCACGCUGACCAAAAACCUACCUACUGACUAGACUAUUAGUACACCUUGUCAUGACUAAUGCACAACCACGAGUGAAAGCCUCAAGUGACAGCCGAGCAUACCCUUGAGAUCAUACUUCUUCUAGCUAGACAGCGCCCCUGAUCCAGAAACUGCUGCAGAUACGGUGAAACUAGCCGCGCUGCUACUAUGGAUGUUGUGUAAAUCCAGUGGAGGGCCCUCAUGGCAUGCACCCUUUGACAGCACCAGCACCUCGCUGCUGCCAUCUGGAACAUGGCCGCCAUGGCACAACGGCAGGUAAAUCAGCUCUAGGUACAGUUCGCCUGCCACCGGUUCCAGCAAAGGGUCGACCAGCCGCACACCGCACUAGUCAUACUGCUUGCAGAGGCUAACCAGUGAAGAAGGCACAACUUGGUCUGUUAUGUCAAAUAUAGCUUCACUAUGGUCAAACAAUGCUUCCGUGUCAUGGUUAGCGGUCGAACCAGGCUGCAUCCAAACCAAAGAAAAAGUUAAAUUAAAUAUAUAAGAUCAAGUUGACACAAUGAGCAUGCAGCAGGCAGCAAGAGUGAAAGAAAAAUCACCGAUGGACUAUCUUGGCCUCCGUGAUUCGUCAAGGUAUGACCCAUCAUAUCGUCUAGCUGCUGUAUAUGUACCAUAUCCUAUUAUUGGACCUCCAUCACAUUUGGUGCAACCGAAGGGAGAUGAUAGCAUGGGCUAUAUAUUAUCGAUUUGGAUAGUGGUCCAAUAAUAUGAUAGGUGUUUAGGCACAGUGUCCUAUCUUGCCAGUUGUGGCUAUUUGUAUGAGUUCUUAUUCUCGUUUGGCUAUUUGAGAUAUUAUUUGUACUUUGAGAGUCGUUACUAUUUAAUAAAGGUUUCUUUUAUUAUGCAGUUGUGCCCCACUACUCAGUUUUGCCAUUAAAAAUUACAACUCCUAAAAAAUGUCAUCAUUUUCGUGCGAUGCUUGCUCAAAAAUGCCCUUAGAUAUCUAAAAAACACCAUUAUUUCAUUGGUUGUUUGCUCAAAAAUGCCAUUGAACAUCAUUAUUGCCAAGUCAAACCUGAUCAUGUUAUAUGACAAAAAUACCCUUAAACCCAUAUGUCAGCUCUCUCUAUCUCACAAUGACAAGUGUGGGAUCCACUUGUCAAGAGUAAGCAAGCGAAUAAUUUUACAGGAAAACAAGAACGCUGUUGGGAUCAAGUGGAACUCACACUUUAUUUUAUCUCUACUCUUAAUGGACGAGUUGGUUGAAUAGUCCUCCACUUUUGACUGGUUUUUUUGUCUGGUUUUUUUUGUCUCCCUUCCCACCAUCCGACCGGUAUACUUUUUCUCCACUAUUUUCUUGUAAACAAACACUUUCCUACUGUACAAAAAGAGACAGAUCCUAACUUUGCUAACUUAUCCAAAUCAAGCGAUCCAUCUCAUCAAUACAAUUUGUUAGAGGAAACAAAUAACAAAUUUUAAGGAAACAAAUAACCGACUUUAAAGGAAAAAAAUCCAAUUUACUAAUACUCCUGCAUCAUGAUGGAAUCAGAACUUUCCUAACAGUUUUGCUAAAGCACGUCUAGAUGUGCCAUAAGUAUUGCACAUCUAAGUCCUAUGUCAUUGAUCUUACGUUGAGAUUCGUGAGGAUAUUUUUUUCUUUUUUUUCCUCUUUAUAUUUGAUUCACUCACUUAGAUGUGCAAUAACUAGAGCACAUCUAGAUGUGCCUUAGACACACCCUUUUCCUAAUACUCCUACAUGGCAAAUCACCACAUAUUCACUUGUCGUGGCUCCCGUUCCACGAAUAGGAAAUUCCCAGCAGCUUCGACCCCUUUCACACACGACCAUGGCGCCGCUGCCCAUCGCCGCCAUGCCACACGCGAGGGGGCUCUGCCAGUCGGACCUGGCCGCCUCGCUCCCUCGCGCCCGUGUGCCGGGGAGCGACACCGCGCGACGCAGACCGCUGGCCGCCGCGUGCGCCGGGCACAUCUCAGCCGGGAGCAGAGGAAUCGGGACCGAGGGCCACCGUGCGCACUAUGCGCUAGCCGUGCCUCCAGUGGGUCGGUGCAGCCAAGGUCGCCGUCUCGUUGGGGGCAACGUGCGAGUGCGGGCGUCAUGGGUCGCCGUCGUCGUGGACGGUGAGCGUGCCGAGGCUUCCGCUUGCGCGUGCAGGCCUGGCGUCAAGCCGCAUCGACGUUGUUGAGGUCGCCGACAGCGGCAGGUGCUAGGGGCCUCCUCUGCCUCGUGAUGCGGCUGUGCUACGGAGAGCCGGGCCGAGGGCCACUCGUAGGAGCAGCGCGUCGUGGCUGUGGUCUCCACCAUGAUGGGAGGACUGGUGCUACUGCAUGCCUCUUCCACGAGGAUAUUAGAGCAUCUCCAGCCAUGCCCCCAAACAAGGCCUCUUAGACGAUAUUUUGGCCACCGGCGCCGAAAAAUCGGCCCAGUUGCAUCCCCAAAGGCCCUUUUUUCCCCGGCUCGGGCCGAAAUUAGCGUCGGCGGACCCAGAACGAACCUUGCGCGCUGGGGCGCUUGGGGGCGCCGGCCGAAUCGUUUUUGGUGCGAAAAUCGACGGGCCAUCCUUGGCAGCGAGUCAGCUCUUCUCGUCGAUUCGUCGUCCUCAUCGCCUCGGUUCCCGCGGGGGAAUCAAUGCCAAAUUUGCCGCGCGCUGCCGCGCCGGUCAGCCUCCUCCAUUGAUGCCUCACGGGCGGCGCAGUGAAGACGGGACGACGCGCGCCACUCGCCCGCCACGCGUAUGCAUGGCGGCCACGCGAGCGCCGCCUAUAUAAGCCGCCCCUCCCGCACCGGUGAGCCACACACACACCUCGCUCUCCACCGCCGACGCCCCCGUUCCUCCCUCUCUUCUCGCUGUUUCCAGUUCACCCAAUUGCCGAGCGCUUCCCAGGCGAUGGCGCCGCGGCGAACGGCUUCGGCCGCCGCCACCUUCACGAGGACGAAGCCCGGCUUCUCCAUGAGACCGGUUACCCGGUCCCGCCGGACAUGCGGGUGCCCAGGGCGUGGAGGGUAAGCGCUGGCGGGGUUCCGGUGCCACUGCCGCCCACUAGGGCGGCCGGGCGUGCGGAGAUCGACCGUAUCCGUGCCUCUCUGCCGCUGGCGGCGAGAGAAGGGCCGAGGUACACCCCCGAUAGCUCGCUGUGGGAGCCAUACUUCCAUCGUCGCCACGCUUUUCAAAUGUUACGAUGAUUCUCCACUUUACUCUGAAAUUCUCCACUUUUAUUUUUGUUACGAUGAUUCUCCACUUUACUCUGAAGUUCUUUGAACUUUUCAAAUGUUUCACACUUGUGUUUCAUCAAGUAGAUAUACUCAUAUCUGCUCAAAUCAUCUGUGAAGGACAGAACAUAAUGAUACUUGUCGUGAGCUUUAAUAUUCAUCGGACCACAUACAUCAGUAUGUAUGAUUUCCAACAAAUCUGUUGCUCGCUCCAUUGUUCCGGAGAACGGAGUCUUUAGUCAUCUUGCCCAUAAGGCAUGGUUCGCAAGCACCAAGUGAUUCAUAAUCAAAUGAUUCCAAAAUCCCAUCAGCAUGGAGUUUCUUCAUGCGCUUUACACCAAUAUGACCUAAACGGCAGUGCCAUAAAUAAGUUGCACUAUCAUUAUUAACUUUGCAUCUUUUGGUUUCAAUAUUAUGAAUAUGUGUAUCACUACGAUCGAGAUCCAAUGAACCAUUUUCAUUGGGUGUGUAACCAUAUAAGGUUUUAUUCAUGUAAACAGAACAAUAAUUUAUUCUCUUACUUAAAUGAAUAACCGUAUUACAAUAAACAUGAUCAAAUCAUAUUCAUGCUCAACGUAAACACCAAAUAACACUUAUUUAGGUUCAACACUAAUCCCGAAAGUAUAGGGAGUGUGCGAUGAUGAUCAUAUCAAUCUUGGAACCACUUCCAACACACAUCGUCACUUCACCCUUAACUAGUCUCUGUUUAUUCUGCAACUCCCGUUUCGAGUUACUAAUCUUAGCAACUGAACCAGUAUCAAAUACCGAGGGGUUGCUAUAAACACUAGUAAAGUACACAUCAAUAAUAUGUAUAUCGAAUAUACUUAUGUUCACUUUGCCAUCCUUCUUAUCCACCAAUCACUUGGGGUAGUUCCGCUUCCAGUGACCAGUCCCUUUGCAGAAGAAGCACUUAGUCUCAGGCUUAGGACCAGACUUGGGCUUCUUCACUUGAGCAGCAACUUGCUUGCUGUUUUUCUUGAAGUUCCCCUUUUUCCUUUUGCCCUUUUCUUGAAACUAGUGAUCUUGUCAACCAUCAACACUUGAUGCUCUUUCUUGAUUUCUACCUUCAUCGAUUUCAUCAUCAUGAAAAGCUCGGGAGUCGUUUUCGUCAUCCCUUGCAUACUAUAGUUCAUCACGAAGUUCUACUAACUUGGUGAUGGUGACUAGAGAAUUCUGUCAAUCACUAUCUUAUCUGGAAGAUUAACUCCCACUUGAUUCAAGCGAUUGUAGUACCCAGACAAUCUGAGCACAUGCUCACUAGUUGAGCGAUUCUCCUCCAUCUUUUAGCUAUAGAACUUGUUGGAGACUUCAUAUCUCUCAACUCGGAUAUUUGCUUGAAAUAUUAACUUCAACUCCUGGAACAUCUCAUAUGGUCCAUGACGUUCAAAACGUCUUUGAAGUCCCGAUUCUAAGCCAUUAAGCAUGGUGCACUAAACUAUCAAGUAGUCAUCAUAUUGAGCUAGCCAAACGUUCAUAACGUCUGCAUCUGCUCCUGCAAUAGGUCUGUCACCUAGCGGUGCAUCAAGGACAUAAUUCUUCUGUGCAGCAGUGAGGAUAAACCUCAGAUCACGGAUCCAAUCCGCAUCAUUGCUACUAACAUCUUUCAACAUAAUUUUCUCUAGGAACAUAUCAAAAUAAAUACAGGGAAGCAACAACGCGAGCUAUUGAUCUACAACAUGAUUUGCAAAAUAUUACCAGGACUAAGUUCAUGAUAAAUUUAAGUUCAAUUAAUCAUAUUACUAAAGAACUCCCACUUAGAUAGACAUCCCUCUAAUCCUCUAAGUGAUCACGUGAUCCAAAUCAACUAAACCAUGUCCGAUCAUCAUGUGAGAUGGAGUAGUUUCAUUGGUGAACAUCACUAUGUUGAUCAUAUCGACUAUAUGAUUCACGCUCGACCUUUCGGUCUCCGUGUUCCGAGGCCAUAUCUGUAUAUGCUUGGCUCGUCAAGUAUAACCUGAGUAUUCCGCGUGUGCAACUAUUUUGCACCCGUUGUAUUUGAACGUAGAGCCUAUCACACCCGAUCAUCACGUGGUGUCUCAGCACGAAGAACUUUCGCAACGGUGCAUACUUAGGGAGAACACUUCUUGAUAAUUAGUGAGAGAUCAUCUUAUAAUGCUACCGUCAAUCAAAGCAAGAUAAGAUGCAUAAAAGAUAAACAUCACAUGCAAUCAAUAUAAGUGAUAUGAUAUGGCCAUCAUCAUCUUGUGCUUGUGAUCUCCAUCUUCGAAGCACCGUCGUGAUCACCAUCGUCACCGGCACGACACUUUGAUCUCCAUCGUAGCAUUGUUGUCGUCUCGCCAAUCUUAUGCUUCCACGACUAUCGCUACCGCUUAGUGAUAAAGUAAAGCAUUACAGCGUGAUUGCAUUGCAUACAAUAAAGCGACAACCAUAUGGCUCCUGCCAGUUGCCGAUAACUCGGUUACAAAACAUGAUCAUCUCAUACAAUAAAAUUUAGCAUCAUGUCUUGACCAUAUCACGUCACAACAUGCCCUGCAAAAACAAGUUAGACGUCCUCUACUUUGUUGUUGCAAGUUUUACGUGGCUGCUACGGGCUUAUGCAAGAACCAAUCUUACCUACGCAUCAAAACCACAACGAUAGUUUGUAAAGUUGGUGCUGUUUUAACCUUCGCAAGGACCGGGCGUAGCCACACUCGGUUCAACUAAAGUUGGAGAAACUGUCACCCGCAAGACACCUAUGUGCAAAGCACGUCGGGAGAACCGGUCUCGCGUAAGCGUACGCGUAAUGUCGGUCCGGGCCGCUUCGUCCAACAAUACCGCCGAACCAAAGUAUGACAUGCUGGUAAGCAGUAUGACUUAUAUCGCCCACAACUCACUUGUGUUCUACUCGUGCAUAUAACAUCAACACAUAAAACCUAGGCUCGGAUGCCACUGUUGGGGAACGUAGUAAUUUCAAAAAAAUUCCUACGCACACGCAAGAUCAUGGUGAUGCAUAGCAACGAGAGGGGAGAGUGUGAUCUACGUACCCUUGUAGACCGACAGCGGAAGCGUUAGCACAACGUGGUUGAUGUAGUCGUACGUCUUCACGGCCCGACCGAUCAAGCACCGAAACUACGGCACCUCCGAGUUCUAGCACACGUUCAGCUCGAUGACGAUCCCCGGACUCCGAUCCAGCAAAGUGUCGGGGAAGAGUUCUGUCAGCACGACGGCGUGGUGACGAUCUUGAUGUUCUACCGUCGCAGGGCUUCGCCUAAGCACCGCUACAAUAUUAUCGAGGAGUAUCGAGGAAGGGGGCACCGCACACGGCUAAGAAAACGAUCACGAGGAUCAACUUGUGUGUCUAUGGGGUGCCCCCUGCCCCCGUAUAUAAAGGAGUGGAGGAGGGGAGGGCCGGCCCUCUCUAUGGCGCGCCCUAGGGGAGUCCUACUCCCACCGGGAGUAGGAUUCCCCCUUUCCUAGUUCAACUAGGAGUCCUUCCAUGUAGUAGGAGUAGGGGACAAGGAAAGGGAAGAGGAAAGAGAAGGAAGGAGGGGGCGCAGCCCCUCCCCCUAGUCCAAUUCGGACUAGGCCUUGGGUGGGCGGCCUGCCUCUCCCUCUCCCCUAAAGCCCAAUAAGGCCCAUAUACUUCUUCUCCCGUAUUCCCGUAACUCCCCGGUACUCCGAAAAAUACCCGAACCACUCGGAACCUUUCCGAUGUCCGAAUAUAGUCGUCCAAUAUAUCGAUCUUUACGUCUCGACCAUUUCGAGACUCCUCGUCAUGUCCCCGAUCUCAUCCGGGACUCCGAACUCCUUCGGUACAUCAAAACUCAUAAACUCAUAAUAUAACUGUCAUCGAAACCUUAAGCGUGCGGACCCUACGGGUUCGAGAACAAUGUAGACAUGACCGAGAUACAUCUCCGGUCAAUAACCAAUAGCGGAGCCUGUAUGCUCAUAUUGGCUCCUACAUAUUCUACGGAGAUCUUUAUCGGUCAGACCGCAUAACAACAUACGUUGUUCCCUUUGUCAUCGGUAUGUUACUUGCCCGAGAUUCGAUCGUCGGUAUCUCAAUACCUAGUUCAAUCUCGUUACCGGCAAGUCUCUUUACUCAUUCCAUAAUACAUCAUCUCGCAACUAACUCAUUAGUUGCAAUGCUUGCAAGGCUUAUGUGAUGUGCAUUACCGAGAGGGCCCAGAGAUACCUCUCCGACAAUUGGAGUGACAAAUCCUAAUCUCGAAAUACGCCAACCCAACAUGUACCUUUGGAGACACCUGUAGAGCUCCUUUAUAAUCACCCAGUUACGUUGUGACGUUUGGUAGCACACAAAGUGUUCCUCCGGUAAACGGGAGUUGCAUAAUCUCAUAGUCAUAGGAACAUGUAUAAGUCAUGAAGAAAGCAAUAGCAACAUACUAAACGAUCGAGUGCUAAGCUAACGGAAUGGGUCAAGUCAAUCACAUCAUUCUCCUAAUGAUGUGAUCCCGUUAAUCAAAUAGCAACUCUUUGUCUAUGGUUAGGAAACAUAACCAUCUUUGAUUAACGAGCUAGUCAAGUAGCUAGAGGCAUACUAGUGACACUCUGUUUGUCUAUGUAUUCACACAUGUAUUAUGUUUCCGGUUAAUACAAUUCUAGCAUGAAUAAUAAACAUUUAUCAUGAAAUAAGGAAAAAAAUAAUAACUUUAUUAUUGCCUCUAGGGCAUAUUUCCUUCAAUGAGGAGGUGCCGAGUGAUGCCGGUGGAUGGGUGUCGUCUGCAACAACCGGACCGGCCACGUCGUCAAGCUCCAAAUCAGUAGCGUAUCACCUCGGACACGAAUAGCCUUGGAGGGAUACGUUCCUCCUUGUUCACUUUACGACAUCUGAAGUAGCUGGAACUCUCAUGCAACAACUUCGGAGGCCAACCCAUCCCGAAGUUCAUCGGCGUCCUUGGGCGCAGGAGGCUGGCGCAUCUCGAUCUCUCCAACUCAUAUUUCGUUGGUCGAAUUCCUCCCCACCUCGGAAAACUCCCAAGCCUAGUCAGCCUUAAACUAAACCUCUCAAACCUGUCAAGCCUUUCAAGUUGUCUAGAGAGAUACCAGUUGGUAUACGGGAGCUCACAAACUUGAACACAUUAUUGCUAAGCGACAAUAACCUACAUGGUGCAACCACUAAGGAACAUUUCACUAAUUUGAUUAUCUUACAAUACCUAUAUAUCUCUCAUAACUCCCUAACCUUUCCCGCAAAAAAAAAUGAUAACUCCCUAACCGUGAAGGUCAACAGUACCUGGAAAACUCCAUUCAGCUUAUCCACAAUAGGCUUUAGACUUGCAUACUAGGGCCCCAGUUUCCAGCUUGGCUUAACUAACCAACAAUCUUUUGGCUUUACAUUUCAAACACGGGCAUACACGAUAACAUACCUUUCUGGAUUGCUAAUUCCUCUCUUGAAAAAUUGUAUUUGUUAGAGAAUCGUCUUGUUGGCACGCUGCCUACAUUUCCCCUAUGAUCUCCUUUGACAAUACUAGAUGUCAGUUCUAACCAGAUUGUUGGCCCAAUUCCAACACUUCCUAAUAAGCUACAAUUCUUGGACCUCUCUAGAAACAAUCUAUCAGGAACACCGCCACCAGAUAUGGGAGAACUAAUGCUAGCAAUGCUCCUCCUCUCUAACAAAUCCUUUUCUGGAACUAUUCCCUGCUCCCUCCAACCAUUGCAAUUCCUAGACCUCUCAAAUAACAUGCUAAAAGGGACAUUUCCCAAUCGUCCUCAAGGAUACAAAACCUCUGUUCUUACCUUGCUUAAGCUGAACAACAACCGUCUUUCAGGAGAAUUCCCAUCGUUUCUUCAAAGAUGCAGAGAGCUAAAAUUUCUGGAUCUGUCCUACAAUAAUUUUUCUGGGAUAUUACCAACAUGGAUCAAGUCAUUGUUACUACGUUUGGCACUUUUGCGUUUGUGCUUAAACAUGUUCUCUGAUGCCAUCCCUGGUCAACUAACCAGGAUGAAGGGGCUUCAAUUUUUAGACAUUACAUGCAGUAACAUCUCAGGGGACAUACCACGUUCACUUGGGAACUUACAGCUAUGACCUCUGCUUACUAUAAUAGUGGUGGACUUUUCAACCUUCUUGAUGGAGUUGGAGCUCUGGACAUUUGCGUUGACGCUUUUACUGUAGUGGUACACAUAAAUAAAUAAAAUACAUCUAUUAGUGUUCAAAAAGAUUAAAAUUAACUAAUGACAUAGAGAUAUUUUUACAUGCUAUAAAAUUCACAUCCCACUUCGGUUCACAGCUUCCUAAACAAUGAAAGCAAAUUUACAGAGGAUUAGUGUUUUUUUGUUUCACGACCCACAUAUCGAAUUUGAAUUGGCAUUCCAAAUAGGUGAGUAUGGAUGUUGCUUAUCGAAGAUUUUUCAAUCUACUAAGAAGACUUCCUGCAACUUGGCAGCACGCUCGUCAUCACGGUCGCACAUCGGCGGCGGGCAUGGCGAGAGGUGGCGUUUUUUGGGCGUCCUGUGGCUUCGGAGAACACGUAGCACCUGGUGCUCGAGCCGUUCUUCUGCUUGUUGCGGGGCAGUGACGAGAUCGUGAGGCGAGAGUAGGUUAGGGCGGUAGCCACCGAAGAUGGUCCAUUGGCAGCCGUCCGAAAUCGGCAACCGGUGAUGAUGAUCCCACACCUUGUUGUAGCCUGGUAUUCGUCCACGUCGUUCCGUGGUGUCGUACUUGUACACGCGGUCACCAUACUGGUAGCACAGCAUGCCGUCGUCACCGUCGAGCCAGGCUGCCCUCGGGUGGUGAUGGUGGCGGCAACGGAGGAGAUCGGUUAGGUGCCGCAGUUGGAGAACGGUGCCGUCGUUAGUGACGCCCGUUUCAAAGCUGUAGCGCAGCUCCCAGCUGAGUGGCGCAGGUGACAGGACCCAGAACCGGAGGCAGUGGGAUGGACUCUUUUCGUGCACGGCGACGCAUGGCCGGCCGUGCAGCUCGAGGACGUCGGUCGCCGCUUCAUUGGCGCCGCACCUGGGGAGGCGGCAGGCGUGUUGCGUCUUGCUGGCCACGUCAAAGAUGAGCAGCCUAUCGGGCUUCCUGUCGCCCUCCCGCUCAUUGGCCAGUACGUACAGCUUGCCGUCGAUGAGAGCAGGUGGCGACCCCAACCCGUGGCCCUGGAAGAGUCCCUUAUGCCGGCGCCACACGCCUGCCUCCGGCCCGCGGCCCAAGGUGAGCACGUGCACAUAGUUCCCCGUCGCCGCGAAGGAGAGGCGGAAGAGCUUGUACUGCCGCGUCGACGCGCUGUACCCCAUGGCGUACAUGUGCGGGUGCACCCUCAAGGGCACGUCCGACGUCUCGCUCCUGGCCGGCGGCUCCACCCGCAGCCUGUCGCCGGUGAUGGGAUUGCAGACGAAGAGCGGCAGCUGCCAGCCGCCGGUGUUUGCGGCGAGGAGGACGAAGCCGUUGCAGGCGUUGGCGGCGCCGUACAUGGCGGUCACGUCGAGAGCGCACAUGGCCGUUGACGUCGACACGUUGAACACCGUCGUGUCGGGGUUUGUGCCCGGCGUCUGGGUCACGGACAGGAGCAGCGCCUCCGUGCCGGCGCCGGAGACGACGUGUGUGGCGUGGGCGUGGAGGUUGAGGAAGGAUGGAUCCUUGAGGACGCGGCGCCAUAGCCGGGACACGCAGCGGCCGCAAGCGACGUCCCUCGUCGGCAGCUUCAGCAGGAUCUGGCGCAGGGUCUCCUCCGCCACAGCCUCCAUCUUCACUACGAUCGAUAGGUGUAGUCCUCGCCAUCCUAUAUAUUACAGCCCGAUGGGAUUCAGUACGUACACAACCUUGCACGGCACGUGAGUAUUCUGGAUCGUAUAGGAUUGGGAGUGCAUUACGAAGUCAGUUAGCUAAUAGGCUAUCUUAGUGCAUGUACAACUGGACGCCUCAAACUCUUUUUAUAUGCCCAAACGGAUAAUAAUCGAUAAAAAAAACCGAUCUAGACGGACUCUUCAAACUGACCUCAAAUGCCCGGACUAACCGGCACCACUUGUAUCCAGCCUAAGGCAGAUAUGGGAAGGCCCGGGCACGUCUGCCAUGUCGGAUCCGGACCACGCUGGCCCACCAUAACCCCACAUAUAUUCGUCCUAGUCCGCUUCUUGUACCAAAUCCUAACCACUCCACGCCACUCCACUCUGCCCCCAAGCUCCAUUCCGAUGCCCGGACUAACCGGCACCACUUAUAUCCAUCACCGGAGUGGGUUCCCGCCGCACCUCCUUGAGCUGCUGCCGCAUCAGCUGCUGGGGCGUAACGAUGUCGUGGGAGCAAAGACAUUUGAGAUUAAGUACAUGAGCAGCUUUCUCUUGAAAUCAUCGUCGCUUGUUUCCAUCGCACCAAGCAUAUUCGCGAAAGCAGAGUUCGCCGGGAGGGACGUAAGCCCAGGGAACAUUUCAGGAUAAAGACGUGCUUUCACUUUCGUAUCAACCUUGUAUGGGACAUCCAUGCCGCCAUUGGGGACACCAAGUGUGUUGAAAACAGAUUCCUCAUCUAAUGGAAUCCUACCACGUCCUGGUAUGACAAAUUCCCUCUUGUCCGGAUGGUAUAACCUCGCAAACCAGUCGCACACGGGGUUAUUCAAGUUGGUGCACUGAAUGUUCAUCACCGCUUGCAUCCCCAUUUCCUUUGCAGCUUCUUUCUUGGCGUCAUCGAAACCUUCAUACAGUUCUGUUAGACGUUCAUGUGAUCCCCUGUUGCGCGCGGCUUUCUGCUGUUGAACGCAUGUGCGGAAUUUAAGUUAAAAAGAAAAUAAUCGGAGCUUAGGGGUUAGCACCAUCAUAAACAAACAUGUUUAAUGGAGAGAGACAGUCAUAUGGAUUCUACAUACCUUCUUUACAUUUACACAUCCGAAAGUAAGUACUACUAGCUAGUUCCGCACAUCUCCCGUUGAUUCUAGCUAGUUUCAUCAAUACCAUUUAUAAUGCUUGAUUAUCAGUUUGAUUGACCUCUAUUUCUCUUAAAGUGGUUGUGGCAGGACGGCGGGAAUAAUUUUUGUGGAUACUACAUUUGCGAGUACAUCUACAACGCGAUGACCUCUAAGCGGGUCUAUUCUAAAGAAGAUUAUGAAGUGCGUAAGCAAUAAUAUUCAGAAUUUUAUUUUAUUACCAUCAUUUGUGUUGAGUUUCAUUCAUAUAUAUGUAUUGACCCCCUUCUUCAAAUUAGCUUUGGCAACUACGGGAUGAACUCCUACCACAAGAUCGCAUAAAAGCAAUUCAAGAGGAAUUGGCGGGAUUCUUUCUUGACCACGUCAUAGAUAAAGACGAAGAAUACCAUGUGAAACUUGACAUCAGAUGUUAGGGAUUGUAAGAGAUCUUAUAUUGUAUAUAUGUAUCUAGUAGCGUCGGAUAGAUAUACAAAAACUUGUUAUUCGACCAAUCUCUCGGAGAAAGAGAGGUCGAUCACUUCUCUUUGUAUAUGUUCAUGACGAUCUUGUGUACUUAAUGGUUUCCUUCAUUUGCUUACUAGCUAGCGUGUCGAGAGUCCUCUCUAUACGUAUAGUAUGUAGCAUCGACCAAGCACGGAGAUAAGAGAGGAGACUUCUCUCUAUUAGCUAGCCAACACAAUAUAUGAAACCANNNNNNNNNNNNNNNNNNNNNNNNNNNNNNNNNNNNNNNNNNNNNNNNNNNNNNNNNNNNNNNNNNNNNNNNNNNNNNNNNNNNNNNNNNNNNNNNNNNNNNNNNNNNNNNNNNNNNNNNNNNNNNNNNNNNNNNNNNNNNNNNNNNNNNNNNNNNNNNNNNNNNNNNNNNNNNNNNNNNNNNNNNNNNNNNNNNNNNNNNNNNNNNNNNNNNNNNNNNNNNNNNNNNNNNNNNNNNNNNNNNNNNNNNNNNNNNNNNNNNNNNNNCCCUGCUAACACGUGGAUGCCUUUUAGUCCUGGUUGGUGCUACCAACCGGGACAAAAGGGCCUCCUGCCUGGGCAUGCCACAGCGGCCACGUGGAGCCCCAUCUGUCUCGGUUCAUAGAAGAACCGGGACUAAAGGUAUUGAGCUUUAGUACCCACCUUUUAGUCCCGGUUCCGGAACCGGGACAAAUGGGCCAUAUGAACCGGGACAAAUGGGCCUUUUUCUACUACUGAAGGCGAAAAGCCGGCAGCGCCGCGCGUGCUAUCGGCCUGACGAACUGCCCUCCUAGUCGAUCGACGUGUGUGUUAUUGCGAUGCAUGUCUGGCUAGGUAGCUGCUAUACUAGAUGGGCUUGGGCAGGCCGUAGAAGUCUUUGGGCUAUUCUCGAUAUAUAGGAAGAAGAAGCAGGACGAAAAAAAUGGCUACGCAUGCUACAGACUGCUGCGUGACUACCCAGGAGGGGGCCCCUUGAUCUCGGGGGCCCGGGGCGGCCGCCCCCCGCCCCCCUCCCCCCCUCAGGGCCGGCCCUGCGCUUACGGUUAGGAUAGGCUCGACCUCUCUCUCUCUCUCUCUCUCUCUCUCUCUCUCUAAUGAAGGUACUUCUUUGUCAAAUUGUAGAAAUUUCAGAAAAAAUGCAGCACCCAGAAUUGAAGGUAUUUUUUUCAGUUACUAUCAGUGUGAACCCAUUGCAAUUUUUUUUUCCGAAACUCUCUUCAAGGCCAUGUCAGGUAAUGAGAAUUAUUGCACACAUUUGUUUCUUUUAGUGGCAAGCAGUUAUAAUAUUACCAGUUGUCUUGGACAUAUAAUUGCGAUGUAAUUUCUUUAGUUUUUUCAAAAACACUCCUUGACCAUCUUUCUUGUUUCUAUAUAAAUCCAUUUUCACAUAUAUAUGGCUAUGCACACAAUUUUUUUCAUACGCCUCCCAAAGUUGUGAGCCAGAUUACAUUAAUAUUCAUAAUGGAAAAGAGUUUUACAAAGAACAAUUCAUGGCUUAAACCCAAAAGGAAAAACAUAAAUAGGGCUAAGAGCCAAGAAUGAAGCAUCAUCCAUGUGCACACAUGCACGGCGGGUUACUCGGCAACCAGCAUAAACGAAAAGAUUAAGAUGGAGUAACUAAUUAAUAAUAUAAUCAUAAUAACUACUCAAUAUGCUAAAAUAUACUUCCCCCGUUUUUAUUUAGCAGAGUAUUAGCUUUUGUCAAAGUCAAGCUUUGUAAACUUUGACAAAGUUUAUAAACAAAAAUAUUAACAUAUACUAUAACAAAUCAAUACCAUUAGAUUCAUUGUUGAAUGUACUUUCGCAUCAUAUAGAUUUUUUAUGGUAAAUGUUUAUUUGUUUUCUAUAAACUUGGUCAAACUUUACGAAGUUCGACUUCAGGCAAAUCUAAUAUGCAGAGUAAAUAAAAACAGAGGGAGUAUCUUGUGGUGAUCGCAUAAGAGAUUAAGUAUGUAUUGAAUGUCUAAUGAUUGCAACUACAAGUAUUAUUUCGGUAACGCUGUAUUUAGAAAUAUAAAUAAAUAUCUAAGGUGUUGCCCUAGCGAGUAGUUCAACUUAGUGUGGUGAUCUAGAUACUCGCCUAUAAGUCAACUUUUCAAUCAUUAAUGCAUGGUGCAAGUUGCACAUACAAGAAGUAGUACGUGGUACUCCUACUCCUCGACGACUUGGGAUGAUCAAGUGGUAAACUUGGUGUGGGGUGUUCUUGACUAUAAGUAGCAUGGUCUAUCAGAUGGGCAGUAAAUCGUAUGGUAGCUCAGAUCAUCCUUAUAUAUCUUGUCUUCUUCUCUUCUAAUGGCUUCAUCAGGUGCAGCCGUUGUCGCCGUGCUGGUCGUCGUCCUGCCGGGAAUGGGAUGGCCGGCGCCGGCGUCGGCGGAGGGGAAAACAACGGCAUGCAAGGACUGCAACUCGACGUGUGCCAGCAGCAUCAACUCGUGGGAGCCGCAGGAAUGCGGCAGCGGCGCCUGUAGAUCACCAGUGCCGGAGUGCGUGGAGGAAUGCAUCAAGCAGUGCAGUUAUGCCUGCAGUUAUCCCAAAUCCGAGACGUGGGAGAGACUGUUGACAUAUAUUGCCCACUCUUGCUUGGUUUGGACUUUCUGAUGAAUUGACUUGUGCAUGAAUUUUCUUGAUUAAUUCAUUCAUCGUUUGUUCUUUGAAUGGAUGCCAAGUGGUUUAAACAUACUAGUGUGCGACCACAAAUUUCAGAGAUGGUACACUAGUUGUCUUGUUAAUACAACAUGAGCUCACUCUCCCCUGGCCUAUCUGUGACCGGAUCAACAAACAUCAAAAUAACGACAUCAUAUAGACAAAUCUAAAGUGGUGUGUCUUUUAGUAAGCUAUAUUGGGUUGUCACGGAAAGACAUGAUACAGAUAGGCUGAUGUACAAGAUAGUGCGGAUGGACUGAUAUUCUGUUGCUCUGCCGGGGAAUGGGCCGAUGUACAAGUGCACCAUCCGGGUUCGGGAGGAUAGGGAAAUGGCAGGAAAAUGGACGGAAACUGAAUGUGAGAUGCGUAAUAAGCCGUAGAAAGAUCAGGCAGAGGCCGCACCCCAUAGGUACUCGCCAGCACUGGUGGUUUCUUGUUUCCACUCGCCUACACGUGUUUACAAUUGUAGUCGCUUUCAAAAUUCAAGCGGCUUCAAAUGUUCGUGCGGGCUGUUUCAUAUUUCGAACCAACUUCGGAUCCGCAUAUUGGAAAAAUAACCACCUGCGCUGAGCUUAUUAUAGGUGGCGUUGUUUUGCUUGGUCACAACUGCUUCUAGGGGCCACUGCUAAUGCUCGAUUUUCUUCUAGUGUCAACCUUCACUUUAGGGAACCACCGAUGUUCAUCGAUCGAACGCAAGAUUCACGUUUCCAUCGGACCACUAGGCCAUGCUUCCCACUUCUCCCGCUGAAAUAGGCCACCACUUUCUACAAAAUUGCGUUGUAGGCCGUCCAUCAACCUAGAUGAAGUCUUUCAUCAAACCCCCAACUCCACCUUAACAUAAUUCCAUGGUACUUGUACGCUGGCACCCCACACCUGUCGACACCAAGCUCCCAUGUGUAUACCGUUUUCAAAUCUACACUACGCCAUUGCCAUGUUAAAUUGCACAACGCCUCAACACCGCGACGCAUGUUGCCUCACCCAAAAAUGGUAACCAUCGCCAACAUGACCAUAUGUCUUUGUCAUUGAUGUCACCACCUUCGCCUAUUUGGAAUGACCACACGUCGAUCCGCUAGUAUUUCUAAGCCUUAUUUUUGCGAACUUGGUCGAACAUAUCUGACAGUAACCAUGCCCAUGUUGGGGAACGUUGCAGAAAACAAAAAUUUUCCUACUCGUUUCACCAAGAUCCAUCUAGGAGUUCAUCUAGCAACGAGUGAUCGGAUUGCAUCUACAUACCUUUGUAGAUCACGCGCGGAAGCGUUCAAAGAACGGGGAUGAGGAAGGCGUACUCGACGUGAUCCAAAUCACCGAUGACCAGCGCCGAACGGACGGCACCUCCGCGUUCAACACACGUACGGGACGGGAGACGUCUCCUCCUUCUUGAUCCAGCAAGGGGGAAGGAGAGGUUGGUGAAGAUCCAGCAGCACGACGGCGUGGUGGUGGAUGCAGGGCGUCACAGUAGCAGGGCUUCGCCUAUGCUACAAGAGGGAGACGUAACAGGGAGAGAGGGAGGCGCCAGGGGCUGGUGUGUGAAGUCCCUCCUCUUCCCCACUAUAUAUAGGGGUGCCAUGGGGGGGGGGGCGCCGGCCCUAGUAGAUGGAUCUACUAGGGGGGGGGGCCUAGGGUGGGGGGCUUGCCCCCCAAGCAAGGGGCGCCCCCUCUAGGGUUUCCCCCCCAACCCUAGCCGCAUGGGCCCUUGGGGGGUGGAGCCCCAGCCCACUAUGGGCUGGGUUCCCUCCCACUUCAGCCCAUGGGGCCCCCCCCGGGAUAGGUGGCCCCACCCGGUGGACCCCCGGGACCCUUCCGGUGGUCCCGGUAUAAUACCGGUGACCCCGAAACUUGUCCCGAUGGCCGAAACAGCACUUCUUAUAUAUAAUUCUUUACCUCCGGACCAUUCCGGAACUCCUCGUGACGUCCGGGAUCUCAUCCGGGACCCCGAACAACAUUUGGGUUACUGCAUAUACAUAUCUUCACAACCCUAGCGUCACCGUACCUUAAGUGUGUAGACCCUACGGGUUCGGGAGACAAGCAGACAUGACCGAGACGACUCUCCGGUCAAUAACCAACAGCGGGAUCUGGAUACCCAUGUUGGCUCCCACAUGCUCCACGAUGAUCUCAUCGGAUGAACCACGAUGUCAAGGAUUCAAUCAACCCCGUAUGCAAUUCCCUUUGUCAAUCGAUAUGUUACUUGCCCGAGAUUCGAUCGUCGGUAUCCCAAUACCUCGUUCAAUCUCGUUACCGGCAAGUCACUUUACUCGUACCGUAAUGCAUGAUCCUGUGACCAGACACUUGGUCACUUUGAGCUCAAUAUGAUGAUGCAUUACUGAGUGGGCCCAGUGAUACCUCUCCGUCAUACGGAGUGACAAAUCCCAGUCUUGAUCCAUGUCAACCCAACAGACACUUUCGGAGAUACCCGUAGUCUACCUUUAUAGUCACCCAGUUACGUUGUGACGUUUGGUAUACCCAAAGCACUCCUACGGUAUCCGGGAGUUACACGAUCUCAUGGUCUAAGGAAAAGAUAUUUUGACAUUGGAAAACUCUAGCAAACGAACUAUACGAUCUUGUGCUAUGUUUAGAAUUGGGUCUUGUCCAUCACAUCAUUCUCCUAAUGAUGUGAUCUCGUUAUCAAUGACAUCCAAUGUCCAUAGUCAGGAAACCAUGACUAUCUGUUGAUCAACGAGCUAGUCAACUAGAGGCUUACUAGGGACAUGUUGGUGUCUAUUAUUCACACAUGUAUUACGAUUUCCGGAUAACACAAUUAUAGCAUGAAUAAAGACAAUUAUCAUGAACAAGGAAAUAUAAUAAUAAUGCUUUUAUUAUUGCCUCUAGGACAUAUUUCCAACAGUCUCCCACUUGCACUAGAGUCAAUAAUCUAGUUACAUUGUGAUGAAUCGAACACCCAUGGAAUUCUGGUGUUGAUCAUGUUUUGCUCUAGGGAGAGGUUUAGUCAACGGAUCCGCUAUAUUCAGGUCCGUGUGUACCUUACAAAUCUCUAUGUCUCCAUCUUGAACAUUUUCACGAAUGGAGUUGAAGCGACGCUUGAUGUGCCUUGUCUUCUUGUGAAACCUGGGCUCCUUGGCAAGAGCAAUAGCUCCAGUGUUGUCACAGAAGAGCUUGAUCGGCCCCGACGCAUUGGGUAUGACUCCUAGGUCGGUGAUGAACUCCUUCACCCAUAUUGCUUCAUGUGCUGCCUCUGAGGCUGCCAUGUACUCCGCUUCACAUGUAGAUCCCGCCACGACGCUUUGCUUGCAACUGCACCAGCUUACUGCCCCACCAUUCAAAAUAUACACGUAUCCGGUUUAUGACUUAGAGUCAUCCAGAUCUGUGUUGAAGCUAGCGUCGACGUAACCUUUUACGAUGAGCUCUUCGUCACCUCCAUAGACGAGAAACAUUUCCUUAGUCCUUUUCAGGUACUUCAGGAUAUUCUUGACCGCUGUCCAGUGUUCCUUACCGGGAUUACUUUGGUACCUUCCUACCAAACUUACGGCAAGGUUUACAUCAGGUCUGGUACACAGCAUGGCAUACAUAAUAGAACCUAUGGCUGAUGCAUAGGGGAUGACGCUCAUCUCUUCUAUAUCUUCUGCCGUGGUCGGACAUUGAGAUGAGCUCAAUUUUAUACCUUGUAACACAGGCAAGAACCCCUUCUUAGAUUGAUCCAUAUUGAACUUCUUCAAUAUCUUAUCAAGGUAUGUGCUUUGUGAAAAACCUAUGAGGCGUCUCGAUCUAUCUCUAUAGAUUUUGAUGCCUAAUAUAUAAGCAGCUUCUCCAAGGUCCUUCAUUGAAAAACUCUUAUUCAAGUAGGCCUUGAUGCUGUCCAAGAGUUCUAUAUCAUUUCCCAUCAAAAGUAUGUCAUCUACAUAUAAUAUGAGAAAUGCUACAGAGCUCCCACUCACUUUCUUGUAAACGCAGGCUUCUCCAUAAGUCUGCGUAAACCCAAACGCUUUGAUCAUCUCAUCAAAGCGAAUGUUCCAACUCCGAGAUGCUUGCACCAGCCCAUAAAUCGAGCGUUGGAGCUUGCACACCUUGUCAGCAUUCAUAGGAUCGACAAAACCUUCCGGCUGCAUCAUAUACAAUUCUUCCUUAAGGAAACCAUUAAGGAAUGCCGUUUUGACGUCCAUUUGCCAUAUCUCAUAAUCGUAGAAUGCGGCAAUUGCUAACAUGAUUCGGACGGACUUUAGCUUCGCUACCGGUGAGAAAGUCUCAUCGUAGUCAACCCCUUGAACUUGUCGAUAACCCUUAGCGACAAGUCGAGCUUUAUAGAUGGUCACAUUACCAUCCGCGUCUGUCUUCUUCUUAAAGAUCCAUUUAUUUUCUAUGGCUCGCCGUUCAACGGGCAAGUCAGUCAAAGUCCAUACUUCGUUUUCAUACAUGGAUCCUAUCUCGGAUUUCAUGGCUUCUAGCCAUUUGUCGGAAUCCGGGCCCGCCAUCGCUUCUUCAUAGUUCGAAGGUUCACCGUUGUCUAACAACAUGAUUUCCAAGACAGGGUUGCCGUACCACUCUGGUGCGGAACGUGUCCUUGUGGACCUUCGAAUUUCAGUAGGAGCUUGAUCAGAAGUAUCUUGAUCAUUAUCAUUAACUUCCUCUCUAGUCGGUGCAGGCACCUCAGGAACAUUUUCUUGAGUUGCGCCAUUUUUCGGUUCAAGAGGUAAUACUUCAACAAGCUCUACUUUCCUCCCACUUACUUCUUUCGAGAGAAACUCUUUCUCUAGAAAGGACCCAUUCUUGGCAACAAAGAUCUUGCCUUCGGAUCUGAGGUAGAAGGUGUACCCAAUAGUUUCUUUUGGGUAUCCUAUGAAGACGCAUUUUUCCGACUUGAGUUCGAGCUUUUCAGGUUGAAGUUUCUUGACAUAAGCAUCGCAUCCCCAAACUUUCAGAAAUGACAGCUUAGGUUUCUUCCCAAACCAUAAUUCAUACGGUGUCGUCUCAACGGAUUUCGACGGAGCCCUAUUUAAAGUGAAUGCGGCAGUCUCUAAAGCAUAGCCCCAAAAAGAUAGCGGUAAAUCGGUAAGAGACAUCAUAGACCGCACCAUAUCUAAUAGAGUGCGAUUACGACGUUCGGACACACCGUUACGCUGAGGUGUUCCAGGCGGCGUGAAUUGUGAAACUAUUCCACAUUUUCUUAAGUGUGUGCCAAAUUCGUGACUCAAGUAUUCUCCUCCACGAUCUGAUCGUAGAAACUUGAUUUUCCUGUCACGUUGAUUUUCAACCUCACUCUGAAAUUCCUUGAACUUUUCAAAGGUUUCAGACUUGUGUUUCAUUAAGUAGACAUACCCAUAUCUACUCAAGUCAUCAGUGAGGGUGAGAACAUAACGAUAGCCACCGCGAGCCUCAACACUCAUUGGACCGCACACAUCAGUAUGUAUGAUUUCCAACAAGUUGGUUGCUCGCUCCAUUGUUCCUGAGAACGGAGUCUUGGUCAUUUUACCCAUAAGGCAUGGUUCGCACGUGUCAAAUGAUUCAUAAUCAAGAGACUCCAAAAGUCCAUCUGUAUGGAGCUUCUUCAUGCGUUUGACACCUAUGUGACCAAGGCGGCAGUGCCACAAAUAUGUGGUACUAUCAUUAUCAACUUUACAUCUUUUGGUACUCACACUAUGAACAUGUGUAGCAAUACGCUCGAGAUUCAUCAAGAAUAAACCAUUCACCAUAGGAGCAUGACCAUAAAACAUAUCUCUCAUAUAAAUGGAACAACCAUUAUUCUCAGAUUUAAAUGAGUAGCCAUCUCGAAUUAAACGAGAUCCUGAUACAAUGUUCAUGCUCAAAGCUGGCACUAAAUAACAGUUAUUGAGGUUUAAAACUAAUCCCGUAGGUAAAUGUAGAGGCAGCGUGCCGACGGCGAUCACAUCGACCUUGGAACCAUUCCCGACGCGCAUCGUCACCUCGUCCUUCGCCAGUCUCCGUUUAUUCCGCAGCUCCUGCUGUGAGUUACAAAUAUGAGCAACGGCACCGGUAUCAAAUACCCAGGAGUCACUACGAGUACUGGUAAGGUACACAUCAAUUACAUGUAUAUUAAAUAUACCUUUGGUGUUGCCGGCCUUCUUGUCCGCUAAGUAUUUGGGGCAGUUCCGUUUCCAGUGACCAUUCCCUUUGCAAUAAAAGCACUCCGUCUCAGGCUUGGGUCCAUUCUUUGGCUUCUUCCCGGCAGCUUGCUUGCCGGGCGCGGCAACCUCCUUGCCGUCCUUCUUGAAGUUCUUUUUACCCUUGCCUUUCUUGAACUUAGUGGUUUUAUUGACCAUCAACACUUGAUGUUCCUUCUUGACUUCUACCUCCGCUGAUUUCAGCAUUGAGAACAACUCAGGAAUGGUCUUUUGCAUCCCCUGCAUGUUGAAGUUCAUCACAAAGCUCUUGUAGCUUGGUGGAAGCGACUGGAGGAUUCUGUCAAUGACCACAUCAUCCGGGAGAUUAACUCCCAGCUGAGACAAGCGGUUAUGUAACCCAGACAUAGCGAGUAUGUGCUCACUGACAAAACUAUUUUCCUCCAUCUUACAGCUGAAGAACUUAUCGGAGACUUCAUAUCUCUCGAUCCGGGCAUGAGCUUGAAAAACCAUUUUCAGCUCUUCGAACAUCUCAUAUGCUCCAUGUCUCUCAAAACGCUUUUGGAGUCCCGGCUCUAAACUGUAAAGCAUGCCGCACUGAACGAGGGAGUAGUCGUCAACACGUGUCUGCCAAGCGUUCAUAACGUCUUGGUUCUGUGGGACGGGUGGAUCACCUAGCGGUGCUUGUAGGACAUAAUCUUUCUUGGCAUCUAUGAGGAUGAUCCUCAGGUUCCGGACCCAGUCCGUAUAGUUGCUGCCAUCGUCUUUCAGCUUGGUUUUCUCUAGGAACGCAUUGAAGUUAAGGACUACGUUGGCCAUUUGAUCUACAAGACAUAUUGCAAAGAUUUUAGACUAAGUUCAUGAUAAUUAAGUUCAUCUAAUCAAAUUAUUAAUGAACUCCCACUUAGAUUAGACAUCCCUCUAGUCAUCUAAGUAUUACAUGAUCCGAGUUAACUAGACCGUGUCCGAUCAUCACGUGAGACGGACUAGUCAACGUCGGUGAACAUCUUCAUGUUGAUCGUAUCUUCUAUACGACUCAUGCUCGACCUUUCGGUCUACUGUGUUCUGAGGCCAUGUCUGUACAUGCUAGGCUCGUCAAGUUAACCCUAAGUGUUUUGCAUGUGUAAAACUGUCUUACACCCGUUGUAUGUGAACGUAAGGAUCUAUCACACCCGAUCAUCACGGCGUGUUUCGAAACGACGAACUUUAGCAACGGUGCACAGUUAGGGGAGAACACUUCUUGAAAUUGUUAUGAGGGAUCAUCUUAUUUACUACCGUCGUUCUAAGUAAACAAGAUGCAAAACAUGAUAAACAUCACAUGCAAUCACAUAAUUAACGUGACAUGAUAUGACCAAUAUCACAUAGCUCCUUUGAUCUCCAUCUUGGGGCUCCAUGAUCAUCUUGUCACCGGCUUGACACCAUGAUCUCCAUCAUCAUGAUCUCCAUCAUCGUGUCUCCAUGAAGUUGCUCGCCAACUAUUACUUCUACUACUAUGGCUAACGCGUUUAGCAAUAAAGUAAAGUAAUUUACAUGGCAUUUCUUAAUGACACGCAGGUCAUAUAAAAGAAUAAAGACAACUCCUAUGGCUCCUGCCGGUUGUCAUACUCAUCGACAUGCAAGUCGUGAUUCCUAUUACAAUAGCAUGAACAUCUCAUACAUCACAUAUAGAUCAUUCAUCAUUCAUCACAACUUUGGCCAUAUCAUAUCACAAACCACUUGCUGCAAAAACAAGUUAGACGUCCUUUAAUUGUUGUUGCAAGUUUUACGUGGCUGAAUUAGGGUUCUAGCAAGAACGUCUUCUUACCUACGUUAAAGCCACAACGUGAUUUGUCAACUUCUAUUUACCCUUCAUAAGGACCCUGUUCAUCGAAUCUGCUCCAACUAAAGUGGGAGAGACAGACACCCGCCAGCCACCUUAUGCAACUAGUGCAUGUUAGUCGGUGGAACCGGUCUCACGUAAGCGUACGUGUAAGGUUGGUCCGGGCCGCUUCAUCCCACAAUACCGCUGAAGCAAGAAAAGACUAGUAACGGCAAGAAAGUUGACAAAUCUACGCCCACAACUAAUUGUGUUCUACUCGCGCAAGAAGAACUACGCAUAGACCUAGCUCAUGAUGCCACUGUUGGGGAACGUUGCAGAAAACAAAAAAUUUCCUACUCGUUUCACCAAGAUCCAUCUAGGAGUUCAUCUAGCAACGAGUGAUCGGAUUGCAUCUACAUACCUUUGUAGAUCACGCGCGGAAGCGUUCAAAGAACGGGGAUGAGGAAGGCGUACUCGACGUGAUCCAAAUCAUCGAUGACCAGCGCCGAACGGACGGCACCUCCGCGUUCAACACACGUACGGGACGGGAGACGUCUCCUCCUUCUUGAUCCAGCAAGGGGGAAGGAGAGGUUGGUGAAGAUCCAGCAGCACGACGGCGUGGUGGUGGAUGCAGGGCGUCACAGUAGCAGGGCUUCGCCUAUGCUACAAGAGGGAGACGUAACAGGGAGAGAGGGAGGCGCCAGGGGCUGGUGUGUGAAGUCCCUCCUCUUCCCCACUAUAUAUAGGGGUGCCAUGGGGGGGAAGCGCCGGACCUAGUAGAUGGAUCUACUAGGGGGGGGGGCGGCCUAGGGUGGGGGGCUUGCCCCCCAAGCAAGGGGCGCCCCCUCUAGGGUUUCCCCCCCAACCCUAGCCGCAUGGGCCCUUGGGGGGUGGAGCCCCAGCCCACUAUGGGCUGGGUUCCCUCCCACUUCAGCCCAUGGGGCCCCCGGGGAUAGGUGGCCCCACCCGGUGGACCCCCGGGACCCUUCCGGUGGUCCCGGUAUAAUACCGGUGACCCCGAAACUUGUCCCGAUGGCCGAAACAGCACUUCCUAUAUAUAAUUCUUUACCUCCGGACCAUUUCGGAACUCCUCGUGACGUCCGGGAUCUCAUCCGGGACCCCGAACAACAUUCAGGUUACUGCAUAUACAUAUCUUCACAACCCUAGCGUCACCGAACCUUAAGUGUGUAGACCCUACGGGUUCGGGAGACAAGCAGACAUGAUCGAGACGACUCUCCGGUCAAUAACCAACAGCGGGAUCUGGAUACCCAUGUUGGCUCCCACAUGCUCCACGAUGAUCUCAUCGGAUGAACCACGAUGUCAAGGAUUCAAUCAACCCCGUAUGCAAUUCCCUUUGUCAAUCGAUAUGUUACUUGCUCGAGAUUCGAUCGUCGGUAUCCCAAUACCUCGUUCAAUCUCGUUACCGGCAAGUCACUUUACUCGUACCGUAAUGCAUGAUCUUGUGACCAGACACUUGGUCACUUUGAGCUCAAUAUGAUGAUGCAUUACUGAGUGGGCCCAGUGAUACCUCUCCGUCAUACGGAGUGACAAAUCCCAGUCUUGAUCCAUGUCAACCGGCAAACAGAAACUAAAGCAGGUGUUGGAUUUCAAACUGGUGUUAAAGAUUAUAAAUUGACUUACUACACACUAUUACGUCUUGUUUUUACUCCUAUAUUGGGAGUUACUCUACAUAUUGCAAUGCCUGAACCCUUUUUAUCUUUUCUGUAUCGGGGAUCGUCAAAAUAAGCAAAAAUAGUAUUUCUACGUAAAACACCCAUAAGGGGGUGGCGGAUGUCAGCGGUUCGAGUCCGCUUAUCUCCGAACUGAAACAUCUUAGUAGCCAGAGGAAAAGAAAGCAAAAGCGAUUCCCGUAGUAGCGGCUAAGGGAAGGAACUUCCUAUUCCGACCGAGGAGAACAUGCCAUUCUACAGGGCGUUUAAUUAUUCGAAUGUAUCAGCAGAAUUUUUUGGAUAACUCGGUUAAUCAUCCUAACCAAGAUCGAUUAUUGGAUUACAAAAGGCAAUUAGCUAGAGCAGCAGGUGUUGUAGCGAAACUCAUUGCAAAAGAGGGUAAAACUCGGCAAAAUAGCCCCAUAACUUCGGGAGAAGGGGUGCCCCCUCACAAAAGGGGGCCGCAAUGACCAGUUGGUUGAACCUUAGGUGGUUCUCGGAAGAAGAUAGCGAAAAAAAUUAUCCCUAAAGUCGAAACUAAAAGGAACGUAGCUUCCAAGGUUAAAGGUAGAUGAACAGCCAUUUGAGCGCUAUAGACUUCAAUGCGGUAGAGUAGACGUUUUGUUCCUAAUUUUUCUAGACCAAACCUCCGCUCCGACCCAACGAUACAAUGAAUUUUUUCUGUUCAUAUUCAUAAAUAAAAAAGAUUCGGAAUCACCGACUGUUGCUAAGCAGUUUUGGGAUACUAAACGGACCUCCCCAGAUGGUAAUCUUAAAGUGGUCGAUUUACCCUCUUUUGCAAUGAGUUUCACCUUUCCUCAACCUUCCCCUCCUAAAUCUUAGAAUCCUAAUGCCACAGAAGGACCAGUGGUGAUACAAUCGGACACCUUGAAGUAUUGGUUACAUUGUCCAGGGAGGGUUUAUUAUGGUCAGCGUAUUGGCAUCUUGUGUCUGAUAUCAAGUUACUGAUGACUGAGAGAGAGAGUUUAUUCCUUUGUAGAUUAAACGUGAACAAAUUAGGGCAGCAGAUCGACUGGCGCCGUAUAGUCGCACUAAGCGUAGCACGCGGUAAGAUACAUCCAGGACCACCAUGUAUUGACGGGCUCCUGCCUCUCUACUAUAACUCUGUUAUUAUGGAAGAAAUUUCUUUCACCCCCCUCCUAAAAAAAUGAAAGAAGAUAUGCACACAUGCAUGCCAUUUAUCGGGACCUAAAGCCGGGCUUGACCGUCAUAUCGUAUCGUGCGGAAAUUGUUGGAUUCAACACACAUGCAUGCCUAUGAUGUUUGAGUCGUGCACGUACGUGACUACAUGAGUUGGAGAUCGUGCGUGUUACGCUACCAAACGACCAUGCUGGGCACGGCAUCAAUUAAUCUCCAAUUACGUACGUACUCAUUAUAUAUUGCCAGAGAUCAGAGUUCGAUCUACCCCCCACGUACGCACAGUCGACCUAGCCAAAAUUGUUGAUCCACGGAGAGGGCUAUUCGAUUGACGAUGGGUGAUCCGUCGGCGGUCCACCUUCCCGACCUCGUGCUCGCGGAGAUCUUCGUGCGGCUGCCGUCCAAGGACUUCCACCGGUGCCGCUGCCUCUCCCGCGCCUGGGCAGCCGCCCUCUCCUCCGACGACCUCAUCGACCGUCACCUCUCGGUGCACGGCAAGAUCCGGCUGCACUACGACGACGUCAUGACACACCUCGUCUUCGAGUGCUCCAUUCGCCGUCGCAUAGUGACAGAGCUCGAGAGCUUGGGCGACGGCGAGACGUCUUCCGAGGAGAAAGAGAGCAGCGAGCGCGACUGUGAGGUGCCAGAAGAGAACGAGAACGGUCAGGAGACUCCCAAGGAAGACGAUAAUGAAACAGAUGAUGAUGAUGAUUUUAAUUUCGAAGAAGAGUGUUGGCGAGAGGAAUACCGGACCAAAGGCUAUGUGGAGGCAUACGAGGACUACUAUACUGCGAUGCCAUAUUGCAAUGCAUUGUGGGAAAAGGCAAAGGAGGAAAUUCUUGGGAUCAAGGCUACCGACUCCAAUGACUAUGACGAAGCCAGCGCCAUGCUCCUUAAAGCAUGCACCGUUCCAUACGGUGCUCUCCAUCCCCGCAUCCGGCAACCGUUCUUGGAAGAGGACCCUUCCAUGCACCCCUUGAGCGGCCAAGGAAAAUCAAAAGGGCAUAUUGACGCCAGGAGUAUUCGUGGCCGCGAGAGGACGGAAGAGGAGGUCGACCAAGAAAUCAUUGCUUUUCUCAGGAGAUUACGUGAUAUGGACCCACAAGCACCAGUAAGUGACCGAUCAACUUUCUGAUAGAACAUCCGUUGAUGUCUAAGUAGCUAAUUGUAUGUGGUUAGUUAAAUAAUUCAAAUAUCUACAUGUAUGUUGAUGCAGCUUUUGAGGGAGUUUGAUACCUACCAGUUGCCACCCAUACCUCCGCAAGGGCAAGACGGGGUGGUUUCUUUUGAGGAAGGGGUUGUGCAAGAAGAUGGCUCCGACUACUCGGAUAAUGGGGAUGUUUGCCAGCACUCUGUCGUCGACGACUCUUAGAUUCAAACACAGUAAUAUAUAUGACAAGUCAAUCUACCAGCCGAUUUAAUUUUAUGAUAGAUGAUACAUUUGUGUUUUCAAAGCUAUAUGCCUUAGCGGGUGACAUAUAUCUAUUAAUUAUUUGUUAUCUCAGAAAUCUUGCAGUUUAUAUGAGUUUCGUUCUUGCCAAGACUGAACACACAAGCUAUACGCCUAUUCACUAGUGGUGUAAUCUUAUCUAUGUUCCAUAUUUUUUUAGGUGACAAAUAAAAUAAGGGUUGUGCCACGAAAUUAAAUUCCCCACAAAAUAACCGUGCAAGCUGUGCUAUAGCUGCCCCGGAGCCUCUCCGCUAUGCCAUGGCUGCUGCUGCGAAAUCCUCGACAAUGCUUUCUAAAUGCAUGGCUCCGAGAUCAGCAAAAACCUCAAGAAAUCAUCUCUCCCACCUGAAAAAUUGCUGCGGUUGCCGCUAUGACGUCGGCUAUAGCUGCUGCAAAGGCAGCAAUGAAAUUGUUUCUCCCGGGAUUUUAAUCUUGCUAACAAAUACUAGCAAAACUCUGUUGUUUGCUAAAUUGCCUCACGAAUCCUCUUGACAGAAAAGUCAUCGUUGUGAUCGGUGGAGCGUCGCUUAUUCCCUGAUUGUUGGUGGCUCCGCAGAGCAUCUACGAAGGCGUGCUCGAAGUCUUGCAGCGUCGAGGGCAAAAAGGAGGCAAAGGCAACUCGGGGUGAGAGCAAGCUGGGACGGUAGCCGCUAUAGACGUUCCACCGAUUCUCCUCAGUUUUUUUCCAGUCGAAUUCCGAUUGUGCUAGGGUUGCCGGCAGCUGGAUCCGAUGGUCCCAUUCCGAGAAACCGCCCGCUAUGGCUUUAUUCCCAUUUGCCUUGAUCUUGUACUGGUGGAGAAUAUCACCUAACCUAUAACACAGCAUGCCGUCGCCGGCGUCGAACCAGGCGCCGCUCGGCGGGUCGUUGCCGUCGUCAAACCAGGCGCCGCUUGGCGGGUCGUUGCUGUCGUCGUUCACAUGGAAGGUGUAGCGCAGCUCCCAGCCAUGCAGCCGUUCGCCGUCGUCCCUGUGAUCCUUAGGCGGCACGACAGCAGCAGCUACUGGAGCAGAGCAGCGGGUGGUGGUGCGGCAUGGAGGCCGUUCGAUAUAUUGCUCGUGGCCUCCGCUAGCUCCGUCGCUAGCUGCUACCUCUAUGCCAUUUCUUCUGCUCCUUGACUGCAAGUUGCCUCUGCCCCGCCGCUAACAAGCUGGUUCUUUCCUCUGAGCUGAUUCCUCUCGCUGUAGACUUCCUCCUCUAAACCAACUACUGCUGUCGCAUGAAGGCAUCUACUAUUCAGUUUUUUCUCCUCUGAUUUUCCAAUCGAAUCUUGGUGUUGUAGCUUCUAUGGAUUUGUGCGCACGAGGAAGAAAAUAGAAGAUAAGAGAGUAAGCACAUACGGUGGUGGAAGGAUAACAAGUUUGUCCUGAAGCUAGCUAUGGUUGCAUGGUGAAAUGAAACUACACGUGGAGUGGAAAGUAAAGCAUGUGUCAGUGCUCACGGAUGAAAGUGCCUGAGUGGCAUUUUAAUUUGAGUUAAAAAAUUGUUGGGGGAAGUUAGUCUCGCGGUUGAAAAUCUUGAGUGCCGUGCAGUUUGCUAUGUGAUGUUCUUACACUUCAGUUAACCUGUUUCUUUUUGUUAGAAAAUAAAUUAAAGAAAACAGUUCUUUUCCUGAUGUGGGUAGUUUACUUGUGCAUUGCCCUUGUAAUUCUGCACUUAGUUGCCAUGGCCUACUUGACGAGGAGGUCGAUGUUGGGCGGAGGCGGGAUCUUUAGCAUCCCGCCGGUGACGGGGUUGCAGACGAAGACCGGCCAAUCCGUGUACUUGCCCCCGGGCGCGGCGAGGAGGAGGUAGCCAUUGCAGGCGUUGACGGGGCUGUAGGCGGGGGCUAGAUCGGUGAUGCGGCCCAUGACCUUGGCCGUGGUGGGGUUGAGGACGACCAUGUCCAGGCCGAUGCCCCUGACGCGGAUCUCCAACACCGCCAACGCCUCCGCUGGGGUGCUGCCGGGGGUGAACACGACGUGGGCGGCAUGGCUGUGGAGGUAGACGAAGGAUGGGUUGGUGAGGAUACGGCGCCAUUGCCAUGAGACGCAGCGGCCUCAGGCGACGUCUCUCGUCGGCAGCCUAAAAAGGAUGUCACGCAAAGUCUCCUCAGCUAUCGACUCCAUCGAUCGUGUCGUGGAACCAACACAACGAUCGACUCAUACCCAGGCAUGGCAUAUAUAUAGCUAGCCUCGCGUCUUGAAACGGGGUCAAAACCGAGUCGGACAGUGAACCAAUCCGAUUCGGGCACUGAACAGUUAGGCAAUCCGAUUUGGUGCACCCGUCUCGUCAUCAUCUUGUCUAUUUUCCUUCGUUAGCUAGCAAGCACCCAGGGGGGAAAAGGAAUAAAUUCAUCUUUUAAACUUGACGGCACUUUUUGGAAAACUACAGCGUAGUGAAUUUGAGUAAUCUUUACCUUAUUUAAAUUUUCUCACAUUCUUUGACCUGAACUUGUUACAUUGUUUACUCCAUUUAUAUAAAUAGUUUCCCCGAUUCUUUUUCCCAAAUUAUAAGUGCCGCACGUUAGGAAUGUCGAAUUUCAGCCCGAGCGCCCCCCGUCCCCCCGGCCGUUGGAUUGUCACACAAAUCUUCCACACCGAAAUCAGCCACGUCAGCGCUAAAAUCCGGUCGGGCUGAAUGAAAACCGUCACGAAUGCCUCCCACUCACCUCAUGACACCACUUCACUCCUCCCGUUCCCCAUUUCCAUCCCACGAACUCCACUCACCCAUCACUAGACGAUGAGGCAAGUGGCCGCCCACGAUACCUAGCAGGUCGCUGGUGUGGGGGUUGGUGUGUGGCAUGGCUGGGCCCUAGGGACGCCCGAUGCCCACCUCUUCGGCCGCACGUCGUCUCCUCCAGCAUCCGUCGGGAUUUUCCAGCAGGUGACUCCGCUGUAUCUUCCCGCCGGCAACAUCCGCUCUCCCGGAAGCCUCCCUCCUUAUCCGCGGUGGUGGCCGCGCUCAAGUACCAGGGGCGAUGCCAAAAUGGAGCACUACAUCAGGUGGAUCCCAGCCGACGCCGAGUGGUGGCCGACAAGGGCCGCGACGGCGGUAAACAUCAAGUGGAUCAGGCCGGCAGUGAGGGAUCUGGCUUCCUCCGGUGACCCCCUGCGCACAUCAGCACCAUUUCAUUCCCACGUGCAGCUACCCCAUGNNNNNNNNNNNNNNNNNNNNNNNNNNNNNNNNNNNNNNNNNNNNNNNNNNNNNNNNNNNNNNNNNNNNNNNNNNNNNNNNNNNNNNNNNNNNNNNNNNNNNNNNNNNNNNNNNNNNNNNNNNNNNNNNNNNNNNNNNNNNNNNNNNNNNNNNNNNNNNNNNNNNNNNNNNNNNNNNNNNNNNNNNNNNNNNNNNNNNNNNNNNNNNNNNNNNNNNNNNNNNNNNNNNNNNNNNNNNNNNNNNNNNNNNNNNNNNNNNNNNNNNNNNNNNNNNNNNNNNNNNNNNNNNNNNNNNNNNNNNNNNNNNNNNNNNNNNNNNNNNNNNNNNNNNNNNNNNNNNNNNNNNNNNNNNNNNNNNNNNNNNNNNCGUUGUCGGCAUAGACGGCGCCGCCAUGGAGAUCGUCGGCUAUCUACCCGGCUGCAACCUGCUCGCCCGCUUGUCACCUUCCAACCCCAGGUCCUGCCCCCUCCUUCCCCGUGCAUUUUUGUUUCCAGCCCAUUGUUUACCAUUUCCUACACAUUUUUAGUUCCUGCCUUGGUGUGGAAAUUGUUGUUGCCAAAUUUUGUAGCGAAAAUGGCUAAUUUUAGGCAUUAUCUUUUCAUAUGUAUGUAUAUUUACAGAAUUUUUGUAGUUGAAAUGUUGUGGAAAUUGGCUAUUUUCUACACAUUUGGCGUCUCUAAAUGCAUGGUAACUGAAAUGUGGCGCCCCCGUUUAUAAUCGUGCACUAAUCAUACACACAGCAUGCACGAUCACGAACCAUGAAUCACGUCAACAUCACAACACAACUCUAUGACAGAAAUUUAAACAUAAAUCUUUAUAUUACAAGCCAGGGACACGAGGACCCAUAAUACAUCAGUAAUCAAAUUAAAUAUUAUCUAAGUACAGACAUAGUUAAACAAGUUUUGCCUUAAGAAGGCUGAGCAAAACAAUGACACUAGAUCGAAAGGCAAGGCCUCCGAACUACUCCUGGUCAUCGAUCUCCACAUAGUAGGCAACGUCGGGAUAACCUACAUCCCCGUUGCUACCAGCUGUUGUAGCAACCCGGUCGAAUGAAAAGGAUAGCAAAGCAACGGUGAGUACUCAUCCAAAGUACUCGCAAGACUUACAUAAGAUUUGUACUACAUAUGCAUCAGUAUCAAAGGAAUGUGGUAGUAUUUGUGGACUAAACUGCAAAAAUGUCAGAAUAAGUGAGAGAAACUCAUCCUAUGGAAGACUACCAUCAUCUGCGGCCAUCAUCUUGCAGCAGUAGAAGAGAGUAGCGUAAAUGGUAUCAUUGUACACAUACGUAUGGCAAUAACCUGCCCAGAGGUCCUCUUCUCCUCUCUCUAGGGAAAGCGGUCUCCAGGGGUAUCUGUCUCUUAUCUGGGUGUGUUUUAACAGGUAUCCAAUUUUAGUUGUAAGAGGUCGGGAUACUACUCCAAGUCAUCCUGUUGCCGUAGACAUAACUAUUAAAAAAUAUUACUUCUCUAUAGGAGUGCACCACAUUACCCGGUACACUCAAUUACCUCUGGCCGGACACACUUUUCUCAGUAAUGCCUGGCCUCAAAUCAUUGACAAGCCAUAGACCAACCUAGGCUUUCCAGAGAGGUCAAGACGCCGGUCUAAAUCCUAAGUGCGAAAGCGUCAUGGGCUCAUCACCCAAAGCACUACUGCACGUUGCGAGACUAGCCGGGGCCAAGGCGCGCCUCUGUAUAUACAAGCAGGCAUAACCAUCCCACCCCAACAUUUAGCCCGCGUCUCUGAACUAUGACAUCUGAAUUACUUUCGGAGGGAAUGUACGACGCUGAGGCCCCAUGAACCAUUAUCCCGUGCCGUGGUUAGUGCAUAUAUGCCAAAUGGCAGUCCUAGAUCAAAUAAAACAAACUCGUUAAGCGUGUUAUUGUUAUGUAACCGCGGACACUGACUAGGGACCAGGCCCACCUUUCUCCUAGGUGGUCUCUACCUGCCUUGUCGUUCCGCCACAAUGAAUAUCUCGUGUCGGUUGUCGGGAAGGUCCCGAGCUACCACCACAUCCUGGGUGAUACUGCUAACAACUAGCCGCCACAGUGAAUCACUUGCGGGUACUCUCUAAGCCGAUCCGACUUCAAUAUGAACAUGUUUCAUGUAUAGUGUAUGUAAUAUAAAGUAGCAAUAGUGUUCCUCUUCGUUGGCAUCUCAUUGCAGUCCAUCUCGCUCCAUGUCAUAGGCCACCGGAGUCCGGGGUCCAUCGAAGUAACAUAUAUGGUAUGCAGUAUAGGGCAUAUUCAUGAUCAUCACCCAAAGGGAUCGCGGUCCGAUAGUAUAGCAUAGCAGACGGAUAAGGAUGUAGGGCACUGAUGGGACUCUAGCAUAUCUAUACUAAGAAUAUAGGAUAACAUGUAUGGUAUCAACAGUAGUAGCAUAGACAAGCUAUGCAACAGUAUAGGAUGUACCGAUAAAGCAGUAACAAUAUCAUAACUCUAAUGCAAGCAAUAGAGAGAAGUAAUAGGUGAUAUCAGAAUGAUCAACGAGGUUUUGCUUGCCUGGAAGCUCUAUCGAGAAGGGAAGGUCAUCGUCGAUGUAGUCGUACUCGGGGCCAACAACAAUCUCGGAGUCUACCGGAGAAGGAGGGGGAAGAAACAAUAAAUAUAAAACAUACAAAUGCAUCACAAAACAUGACAUGAAAAAAUGUUAUGCUAGGGGUGCUCUAAUGCAUUACUGCACAAUUUAAAAGAAGUGGAUAAAUAAUUGGUAAUAUUUUCCCAGCUCCCGGCAUUUUUCGAUAAAUUGAUCCACAUGCAAAUGUUCAAGGUUCAUUAUGUUAGAGGGGUCUGACAGGUAUUUGGAUGGCAUAUGUAGAUUCUUUAUAGUUUUCUGAUUAGUUUUCAUAUAUAAAGUAUUUUCAUCUGACUUAUGGUUUGUUUUAUGAAUUUCCAAAGUUUAAUUUUCUGAAUUUUCUGAACUUAUUUUAUAACUCAAAUUAAAUAGCAAAAUGGCUAUGGGUACCCAAAAGUGUACCCAGCUAGAGUGUGCAUGAGGCUGACAGGUCAGGCUGGUCAACUGCUGACACAACAGUUGACUGGUCAAUGUGUUGACCGGUCAAAGUGGUGACUAGGUCCACCUGUCAUUGACUCAUGCUUAAUUAAAAGGUAAGUUACAUUGUGGGUCGCGCAUGUCAUUUGAACAACUCCGGGUCAUCAUUUCACAAUGAGGGGAUCCUCGUGUAUGUGCCAAAUUCACUAUAAUUCUAGUUAAUUUGUAUCAUUAAAUGCAUGGCAACUAAAAGCAUAUGUUAGACAUGAUGUGUUGCCAUGGCAACUACUUUAGAUGUCAACUCUUUUUACUGUGUUUUUUGGUCCUCGAAACUUGUUAGUUUUUGUAGCAUCUUAGAGAUGCCAAUUUUUCAUUUGAGCAACUUUCUGUCAUCAUUCCAUCAAUGAGUUGAUCCUCAUGUAUGUGCCAAAUUUUUUUCAUUCCUUUUUGCUUAAUAAACAUGAAUUUUUAGACUAGCUGCAUUUUCAUGAUCUAUAUAAUGGGCAUGGCAACUUUGUAUGUGCAUAGGUGACCUUUUUUAUUUUGAAAAACAUGGCAAUUUGUGUGCACAUGAAUUUGGUUUUGACCCUAUAUGCAUAUUGUCCCAUUAGUUUAGUUCAAUAUUUUGACAUGCAAACAUAGAUAUGUUUUUUUGCCAUGACAACUACUAUUUUGCUAUGUUGAAAAGAAGUUUUGUAAUUUUAUGUUUAAUGUGGAUUAGAUCAUGUUGGCACAUUCAAUUUUGAUAGUAUCGUGGAUUAGAUCUGGAGUAGUUUUUUGCCAUGACAACUGCUAUUUUGCUAUGUUGAAGAGAACUUUUAUAAUUUUAUGCUUAAUGUGGAUUAGAUCAUGUUGACACAUCCUGUUCCGACAGUAGUGUGGCAUCGCAAAAUUCUGGAAUAGUUGCCAGUUGCCAUGGCAAAAUUCUGGAGUGGUUGCCAUGGCAGAAUUUUUAUGAGUAGUUUUCAUUGAUAGAAUUGCUAUGACUAGUUGCCAUGGAAAAAUUCUAGAGUAGUUUACAUGGCAAAAUUCUGGAGUAGUUGCCAUGAGAAAAUUCCUAUGAUUUUUUAUAUACCAUGGGAAUUUGUGUAUGAAAAGUUGCCAUGAUAGCUUUCGUUCUACUAUUUUUUUGCCAUGCCAAAGUUCUAUUCAUUCUUUCGUAGAUCACCUUGGUCUUUUUGUCAAUCCACUAUCUUGUCUAUUUUCCCAUGUAUUAGACUUAUGUAAAAAAAUUGGUGUGACAAAUGUUGUAUACUCUUUUUAUCCUACAUUUCAUGAAUUGGACAUCAUUUAGUUUCUUAUACCAUGGGAAAUCACUAUGAGUUUAAAGAUCAUUUUCCAUGGAAAAUUAUCAUAGAUUGACAUGAAAAAUUUACAAUCCUUUUAUAGCUACCAUCUUUUCGUUUAGUAAAUAGCUACCAUAGCAUUUUUUUAUAUGGAUUUUCCAUGUUUUUCUUAAACGAUGGCAAAUUUCUAUUCAUUUUCAGAGAUCGUUUUUGCCAUGUCAAUGUACCAUGGAAAAUAUAUCACAUCGACCAUGGCAAAAACAAUUAGAAACCCAUGACAAAAUCAUACUCCACAUACAUUGGAAUUUUGUUUUAUACACAAUUGCCAUGACCUAGAGAACGUCUUCUGCCAUGCUUUACACAUAGCAUGGAAAUUUUUUAUCAUUUGUUUUCUUUCUAAAUGUUCUAAAAAGUGCCAUCAGAUGACUAUUGGCAAAUUAUUUUUUUGGCAAGUUUUGCCAUGGCAAGUUAUGAUGACAAAGAGCCAAAUUCUAUUGACAAUGUUGUCAAAGUUGUCAUUGACAAAUUAUUCUAUUAAGCAUAAGUUGACUUGGCAAAGUAUUUUAUAAAAUGGCAAAAAAAAGAUGGACAAUAUUUCUUUUUAUUUCCAUGGCAAUUUUUUCCUAUAUUGACAUAGCAAAUUUACAUAUAACGCCCUGGCAAAUUCCUUUAACUUCAUCUAUUUCUUUGAGUUUUUUCUUUUUAUUUUGUCAUGGCAAUUUGACCUUUUUAACAUGGAAAAGUUACUUAUAUUGCCACCGUAAUUUUUGACCUUUUAAAAGGCAAAAAGAAGAUGCUAAAUACUAUGCGUCAUCCGGCUGAUCCUAUGCACGGAUCAGCUGGGUCGAUGGCCAUUGGACGCUAUGCUUCUGGUGCUAUGAUCCCUGAAUUACGAUUCGUAAGGAUUCCAAACCACGUGGGUAGAACCCGUCCAACAAAUUCGUGGACAGAAAUCUCUCGCUCUUUGGUGGCUGGCUGGCUACUCACGUGCGGUAACUGAGUGCAUGGAGCCCCAACAAAAAGUGUUUAUGAGUACUAGUUCUCCUCCUACUAAAUGCUACACAUCCACCUCCAAGAGAAACUAUCAACAAAUUAUAUGCAUAUGUAACAUUGUCACUCAUUCUUUUAUGCUAUAUAUAUGUCAAAGAUCUAAAAUAUAGAGUAAAUUUUUUUAGCGUAUAUAUUUGCAAUCCUCAUUAGUCGCAAAAAAUCCUUUCAAAUAAAUCAUGGCAAAAUACAUGCAAACUAUAAGAAUAAAACUGGUUGCAACACUAAGCUAGUCCUACUAUAGUGUGGGUUUAUUAGUCCUAUCAUAUUUUGAGUCAAAGUUUAACCACAUAUUUUACUAAUAAAAUGUUAGUGCAUGUCAUAAAAAACUAUCUUUGUGUAUUUGUAUUUGUAUGUUGUUUCAAUAAUAUCGUGUUUGCAUGUAUAACUUAUAUAUUUUUAGUUAAAAUCAUGAUUAAAAUAUGACCCAAUAUAGGAGGCAGACUAGUAACCAAUUCGUAGGUAGUAUGAGGAGCAGCAAAUAUUUACUGGAUAACGUUUCUUCAUAGCAGCAUUGGCCUCCGUUAGAGCACCGUGCGACUGAUUUUGCAACACGAUGGUCUGGAUUAAAAAAAUACUAUGUAAUUAUGUGCGUGUUACGACUCAUUCAAAAGAAGAGAGUGCAGCGAACCAACCUAUAAUUGGAUGGUUAGGAGGACAACGGUAUCCCAGCCCCCCAGGGUUCAAAUCCUAGACUUGACAGAGGUUCCAACAUUUUCCUAGAUUUAUUUCAGCCUUUUCCUGCGAUGUGCUAUCAGUGGGAGUAGACUUUCCCAGCAGUCACAUUGUCAAUCUCAAGAUGAUGCGCCUGCUCAGUCUCUUGAAAGUGCUCAUAGGGGUAGGAUAGAAAAAAAUAAAAAUAUAUGUUUGUUCAAUCAAAACAUGUUGGCAUUGAAAAAAUAAACUUAAAAACAUCCACAAUAAGAGGAUACAAAAAGCCGAUGAAAAUAGAGAAAGAUAGAGAAAUAACACAGAUAGACUACAACAGGCAGACUACAACAAAAAUAAAAGAUAGAGAAAGCCCACCAAGCCAUUACUUAGCAACCAUAGCGAAUAACACAGAUGGCUCACCAAGGGUGAGCGGUAGAUUCAAUUUGCCGCCUAUGAGCAUCAAACUGCCGCGGCUUUCCAAAACCUGCUUUUUUGUUUGUUAUCUUUUACACAUUUUUCCAUUUUUUUCAUGUUUUUUGUUUUUCAUGUUCCUUUUAUUUCUCUUUUUUUCUUUGCACUCUUCCUUUUCAUUUCUCUGUUUAAUUUUGUUUCUAUUUUCAUAAUUUCUGAAUUCAUAAAAAAAGUCAUAAUCACAAAAAUUCUUUCAAUUAUCAAAAAAUAAACUUCCAUUUUUUCAUAUUUUCCCUGUUCUUUUUUUCUUUGUAUUUUCUUCAAAUUUUCAAAAACAAAUAUUGAUUUGAUGAAACUUGAAAAAAAAUUAAACGCUUUGCGCUUGCGGCGAUUUCGCCAGACGGUCUUUGCAUUCAACAAAUAUUCAAAUUUUAAAGUAAUGUCAUCAAUUUUGAAAAAAUGUAUGUGUUUUCAAAAAUACACAUUGUUCAACAAUUUUUCUUGUUUUCAUUAAUUGUUUAGAAAUUCUAAAAUGUGCGUGGUUUCAAAUUUUCGUGGAAUUUCCUCCCAUUUUCAAAAUAUUCACAGUUUUCAAAAAUUCUUCAUAUUUUUGAAAAAAUAGAAAUUCGAAUAAAGGCAUUUUUAUAUUUGUUCCCUACUUAAUAAAAUCAUUUCGAAAAUUUCCUCGAAUUUUGAAUAUUAUUAAAACAGUUUGAGUUUUGUUAAACAUAAAUAUUUUUAAAAUGAUCAAAUUAGACCAACCAAAAAAACUGGUUUCCAAUAGUGAACUGGGAACUAACGUGCUUACCGGUCGCUACAGUGAUUGAAAUAUUGUUUGAAGUUCUUCCCAUUUGAAAAAAUCUUCAUGAUUUUUUAUAGCUUGUUCAUUUUUCAAAAAAUAUUGAAAAUAAAAAAUACAUAUUUUUUAAAUAUUUGUUCAAUAUUGUGAAAAAAUCAUGUUGAAAAUUUUCUCGAGUUUCGAAUUUUGUUCACCUUUAAAAAAGACAACUUGAGUGUUUUGAAAAUGCAUACUUUUAGAAAUGAUCGAAAUAAACCAACCAAGAAAUCGGUUUUCAACAGUGAACUGGGAACUACAGUGCCAACCAUGCUGGCUUCGCUUAUUUCGCUAUGUCCAAAAUUGGCUGGCUCAGUAGGACCGAUUUCUGUGCCAAGUGUUGUCAAAUUGAUGCCUGCAGGUGUCAUACAGGAUUUCUCGCCAUGAGUGUGGUGCACGAAUCUAAGUGCCGAUCGAUCUAUGUGCCAAUUGCAAUAUCUGGUCUGCUAUCUUUUAUACAUAUUUCCAUAUAUUUUGUUUUUCAUUUUCUUUUUUCUUCUCUAUUUUUCCUUAGCUUCUGUUCUCUUCAUUUUUCUUUUCCUGUUUAAUUUUGUUUCUAUUUUCAUAAUUUCCAAUUUUUAUAAAACAAAUCAUAGUUACAAAAUUUAUUUCAAUUACAAAAAGUUUUAACUUCCAAAUUUUCUCAUAUUUUUCCUAAUUUUUUUUAUCCUUUGUAUUCUUUUAAGAACUUUCAAAAAAAUAAUCACUUGAUCAAACCUCAAAAAAU
Molecule: long non-coding RNA, 53244 nt
Filed under: Triticum aestivum (bread wheat)
Lineage: Eukaryota; Viridiplantae; Streptophyta; Magnoliopsida; Poales; Poaceae
Description: long non-coding RNA (TAES_LNC009537)
Source: RNAcentral